UGUUCUAUACUAUUCCACAAUUCCAUGAUAUUUGAUUAUUAAAGCCGUUGUCGUUGCGCAUUAGCUCUUAUUGGCUACGAGAAGGGCUUACUUGAGCGGGUUGGUGCCUCAAUCCAUUCUUUUAUUUGAACACAAACAAGUGCUUUUUAGAGUCAAGUAUGGAUAAAGAGCGAUCAGAGGUUCGCCUGCUGAUACAGAGUAUUUCUAGUGUUGUUACUAGAAUCCAGUAGUUUUCUACUUUUUCAAUAAUGAUUUGAUUGGGAAUACAAGUAUCCUUGUUUGCUUGUUAAAAGCGUCUCAUAACCCAUACUAACUAAUACAGCUACGUGGGGGAAGAAUCCAAUCCGCUUUUUGUUCAAAGGAGAUAUCUCCCGAGAUUAUUGGAUUCUAGUAUAAAAGUAAAGUCAAGCAAGGGAUUCGGUUAUUGUUGCGAUUCUCUUCUUUAAGUAAUAAGUAACAGGGAAGCCAAGCCGGACGUUUGUGAGUUAAGCGAGUUAGAGGGGCUUCAGAUCUUGCCUCUAAUCCUUGAGUCAGUAGUGAGUUUAGUCUUUACAUGGAUCUUAGCUACCUUUUCAAUGCCAAUGCCUGUUAAGUAAGAUAUAGUCUGCCCCUAACCCUAACUUUCACCUUUCCCUCAGCAGUUGAGAAUUCUGUUCCGAGAUACUUUACCACAUUAGCUUCAGCAGUUGAGUAUGAAGGAAUACAAUAUAGUGGAGUUGAAAGCGCAUGGUAGGCGAUAAAGAGCAAACAAUCUCUAUUGGUUAGGUACCAAUUUAUAUUCUCCAUAUCCAUUAUUAUGUAAUCUAUUAUUAUCCAUAUCUAUUAUUAGAGAAUCUAAGUUUAUAGCUUAUUGUUCCGGCAAAACUCCUAUCGCGUUCAACUCAACCACUUCUAACUGCCUGGUAAACUCUACCUGGUCAACUCUACCUGGUUAACUCUACCUGCCCUAGCACCUACCUACUCAAUACUUCAGUAUUCUACCUUACUCUAACAGCAUUAGCCACAAAUAAUUCUUCCACUUCAACAAGAACAGCGGAUUCUUGAUACUUUGGACUCUGAUUCUUAUUCCCGCUACGUGUGGGGUCUAUGUCUAUACCAUAAACCUUUCUUUUCUAGCGCUUCUGAUCCCGAUCCAGCUUGAUUUAGAUCUUUCUCCAUCUUUUGAUCCUUCAUAUGCUUAGGCCUAUGAUUCUUUGUACGAUUCCACUCAUUUACUUGCGCCAACAAACAAAGAGAAAAGUCAAUCAAACACUUAAGAGUCAAGAGAUGCUUCAUAGCUACUUGGGCAUUCUGAAAGAGGAGAUUCGGGUCCUGUGUCUUGUCUUAGUUUGUUGUAAUUGCUUGUCGGAAAGUCUACUCGAUCGGAAGAAGAAAGUACAGGUGUAGCAGCUAGCUAUAAGAAUCCAAGAAGAAAGUACUUGCUUUGAAGCAGGAAGCGUAGUUAUUGUGGACGGAGUUCAAGGCUUUCCCUUUGUUGUCGUAUCUAGAACUAUAAGCUCUGUUCGGUAAAGAAGAAAGUAAGGGUAUCAUGCAAACGGUUUCACAAGUAGAGUUAGGGCAAUAAGUUCUUCUCGUGGAGAGUAAGGAGCAAGUCUGGGGAUGGGGGGUAAAUUCCCUAUGUAGCGCUAAGAGAAGAGAUGAGUACUACUUAUCAUUUCGGUUAUAAUAUCGACCAGAUCAGCAGGAUCCGGAGAACGAUCUAAAGUAGAAGAAAGAAAGUCGACAUCAACGAGAUCAGGAUCAGAUAAAGCAGUUUCAAGGAAGUCAGCAGCAAGCGAAGGAAGUGGGUCUUCGUGCUUUUUCUCAUACAAGGAAGCUAGGUUAAGUGGAGAAUGUGCUUCUAAAGCUCCCGGUUAAGUGGAGAAUGUGCUUCUAAAGCUCCCGCCUCAAGAGAGGAAACAGUUGCUUAUAGUUUCUUUCUGGUCGAGUGUAAUCGUAUAAAGAAGACAGUUAGCCCGCUACACUAUCCAAUUUUGUAUCAAGUAAGUCGCGCUUGUCUAGUGGAUCUCGUAACCGUAGCGCUUGUCUAGUGGAUCUCGGUGUUGGCGCUAACCCGCUCAAAGUAGUAGAGUUAUGGUCUUCCAAUUCUAGUUACGUUCUAGUUGUUGGCGAUGAGAGAGAAAGAAGUUCAUCGGUUAAGUAGAGUUGACAGCAGCGUUCUUCUAGUGUUAUAGACAAGUUUCUUUCAGGUUCUUGUGUCAUUGUCUACGAUAGAAUCUAUAAUCCCUCAGUUGGGCCGUAAAGUCUCUUCAAUUGCAUUUCGUCUUAAUAACAUAAACCGUUGUCGAAGCCUAACCCACCCGUUCGCUUGUCUUUAUCGUUACCCUCGUUCGCUUGUCUUUUUCGUGACCUUAAAGCUUCAGGGGUACAAAAUUCCUAACCAAGUAUCACCUCGCCGAACGAUCAAGUAUCUAAGAGCGUUUUCCGCACAUAAGUCUUUCUCAGUUGUUAUAGCACUUUUAGGGCUUCAUGAGUCGAUUCAGAAUCUUAGGUUCUCACUUCACUUGGCGACGGACUUGUCCCACUCCUCGUAAGUUCAAGCCCCAGCCCCCCAAGGCACUCCUAAUGUUGGGCGUGAGGUCUUAUUCGCUAGUACAGAUGUUUCUCAAUAUCCUUAUGCAUCAUUCAAUCAAUCAAAAUGAUGUUUAAGUUGUCUGUAUCAGCGGAUGGGAGACCAAUGAGAUGACUCAUACAAAUAACACGGGAUGCAAAUCUAAGAAAGAAAUAUCAUAUUAUCGUAGAAGAAACUCAUAUUAUAUAAGAGUAUUAUCGUAGAAUAGUCAAUUAUAGAAAAUAGAAGUAUGUUAGGUAAAACAGCAAACGGGUAUUCCACUAUUCGUUCAAGAGGUGCUUCCUCAUAGAGAGGGACAGUUGAAACUGCACGAUCAUCUUAAAGAAUUGAUGAUUUUGGAAGUGAGAACAACUACACGAGAUGGUACAAGACGAAAUGAUAGGAGAGGUAAAGCUUUGGAAGCAUGAGAUGGUCUUGAUCUUAGUUGGCUGGGAAUUGGUAAUAAGAUUAGUUGCACAGCGGUUAAACGACGAAAAAACGAAUGAUUAGAAUGCUUGUAGAGCAAAGUAAUGAAACGAUUGGAAUAGAAGAUAGGGUAUUCGAUCUACAAUGGGCGAGUUACUGGUAGAGCGGAAUACAGCUGUAACAGUACUUACGCUCGUGUUGAAGUCAGCAGAAAUCAAUUGGACCAUCUGAUACAACGGGCGAGAAAAAUACGAGGUCCAAUAGGAGAAAAAUAGAAACUCCAAACAAGCAGAAGCGCGCCGGGAGGAAAUGGAUAAGGGUAAUUGUACUACUCGAACUUUACUGAACUUUCCAAGCCUAUACACAAGCACCGACACCUAUACAACUUUAGCACCCAACCCAAAGCAAAGAAACUCUACUUUAAGACGAAAACAAUACUUUCAGUGACUUCCCAAUAUCUUGCAGCUGAAGAUCUUUAUCAGGCUUCCUCUCUUGUUGGAGACUUCCUACUUGUAGCGGACUUUGCGCUUGCAGUCAAAAAGAUCGGACUAGCUUCUUGCCUUGCACCGAGGAAAACAUUAAUGGAUUUUUGAGCAACCGGUCCUGGUAUAGAUAUAAGUAAGUCAACUGCUUCCCUUGAAGAGAUCUUAGUCCAAUAACUAGGCCAAUAACUUAACUCGAACUAGGAUUGCACGGAACUGACAGAGACUCUAAACCAACACUGGAAAUUCCCUUCCGCGGUAAAGAACAGGAACUACAUUUGAAUCUGGAACAAUACUUUAUUAACCGGUUGAUGCAGACUUUGGCACUGCUUAUUAUCCUGUUUAUGAUCGUAAUUCCAAUCCUUCUAUUGUCGACUUGAAUGGAGACUUGGACACAGAGAAGAACUUGCUGCUUCCUUUAGCUUUAGCGCUUACUUUGAAACAGCGGAUUCUCUUACAGCACGCAACACCUCUAGUAUAUCUUCUAUUAGAUAAGUGUAUAUAACCUCAUAGAAUAUUAUAAGCUUCCAUAUGAUACUGAAACGGAAACGGAAACAGGAACCGCAUCCGCUGAAGCCACUUUGAAUUCCAUAACUUUCCUGGACACCGAACUUCUCUAGCCCGGCCUUUAGAGUCAUUCGCGUUAGCACUUAGUCUUGAUCCGAAGUAAACAAGAAUUGACAGUUGAUCGAGCGCCGAAGAGAACAGAACUCACAUGAACUUGAAACUUCCCUUUCUGCUUCGAUUGCUGCUUCAUCAGAUACAGCUACUGCGGAUUCAGAUCUUUCUCUUGAAACGAUAACUACACUUUCAGAACCAACCGUACUUUAACUCGCGCCCCGUCUUUUCAACAAGAAAGGGAACCAGAGGGAAAGGGAAUCAAGAAGCUCACAAGGAAAGCUACAAUAGCCACGCUUGCUAAUCGACAUAUUCUUAUACAAUACAAUAGGGUGGAUGGAAUUGAGGCGAGAGAUGAAGAGGACGGAUGGAGGUGGAAAUACUGGCAACCUAGAAGGCAGAAUUCUAGUUCAAGGGAGUACUCACGCUUUGCAAUCGGAUGGUCACUUUACUCUCUCUAUGAUAGUUUAGUUAAUAAGUUAAUCCAGAAAGCAAGGUCCUAUCCUAAGCUCAAAUAAAGUAUCGGAAAGAAUAUUCCAUGAGAAUAAGUAAUAGUACAUAUGAAGCUAAGUCUCCGGGCGGGGGCGAUGGAAGCUUUGACUUUGAGGCCAACUUAACUAUAGGGCGAUGGAAGCUUUGACUUUGAGGCCAACUUAACUAGAUAGGGCCAACCCAUUGUAAGAGUAUGAAGCCAAGCAGCUUGAAAGCUUCCGGAGAAGUAGAAACUCCAUCUAGUAGCUCACCCGCUUGCUAGCUUCAGGCAACAGAAUCAAUCUAGUAGGCUCACCUGCUUGCUCGCUUCAGUAUCAACACAGAAUCAAUCUAGUAGCUCAACGGCAGUUAUCAAUACCAAAUCUCUAUGUUUAAAGGUUGGUCCUCAACAGGAAAUAUUGACUCUGUUGUGAACCGCUUCUAAUAAUCGAGAAAACAAGCACAUAGAUUAGCCGCAAAGCGAGCACGGGAAUCUUUCCCUGAAGGCUCAAUGUAAUAUGUAUAGAGUUAUAACUCAGAGAAAGAAGAAUAGUGAAAACUCAGAAAGGUAGAUGCUAUAUUAUUAAUCACUUAGAUAAGGCAGCAAGCAAUGUUAUUAAAGUAUGAGACAGAGGACGAACGCAUAUAUACCAAGCCCGCACAUACUGCACCUUUCAAGAGAGUAUGCUUUAACUGCACCUUUCAAGAGAGUAUGCUUUAGUAAGGCAGGCAGGAUUAGCUUUCUAAUGGUAUGAUGUUGUUGGGCUUCCUAUAGGACUCGUUCUUACCAUAGCCCCGUGCGUUAAUCCCCUACUGCCUCGCUUUCUAAAUGCACCACGGCUGAUCCGAAAUUCCAAGAAGUGAUUGCUUUUUCUCUUUAUCACUCGAAAACCAAAUGCAGUGAGCUAAGUGAGAGAAAUAGGUAAUGUUGACCAAGAGUAACGGACUACGCCAGCAAGCACGGAUGAUGGUUGGUCCAAGAAAGAAGAAAUCUCAUUCAAUCACCCAAUCACUAAGCUACUAUGCUAGUUUUCAAAGCCUUCAAUCACCCAAUCACUAAGCUGCAGGUUUUCCAUAGAAUUUCCUUCCAUUACCCUGACUCUUUAUGGACUCCUUCUUUAGAUCCUUCCAUUACCCUGACUUUUGAUGGACUCCUUCUUUAGAUAGGUUCACUUCACACUCCAUAAUCUUGGAGGGCCUGUUUAUGGACUCCUAAUGCAGAUAGGUUCACUUCAGACUCCCGACUCUUAUUGCCUGCCUGAUUGCCAUUACUUUAUAGAUAGCCUUAUGAAGCGCCCUGCCCAGUCCUUGAACAUGGGUUAAACGACUCUUAUCGCCUUAUUGACUGCUUUCCCUUAACCGAGUUGUGCUAGUUCUUGAGCGGGUGCGGCCCAUAACUAAGGCUUAUUUGUUUGCUUGAGCGUGUGCGGAACCUUACUGCGGAUUCCUUAUUCUAAGUUAUCAAACUGCGGAUUCCGGACUUCAAAACUCACUUAUAACACACAACUCCUUCCCUUUUAUACUUAGACGAACUCACGUUAGCCCUUUUGUUGAAUGGAAUCUCAUGCACAUAUAAAGGAGGAGAGUAACCUUUACUUAAACUAACUACUAAGGCAUAAGGGUUCAAGAAUAUAGGAGAGUAACCUUUACUUAAACUAACUACCAAGGCACAAGGGUUCAAGAAUAUCUAAGUAUGUGCUCUGACUUAAAAGAGGAGCAUUGAGGCACCCCUUGAUACUCGAAUAAGCAUGAAUUCUAGUGAUAGGCAUCCAGAUACUCCAAUCAGUAUUCAUUAUAGUGAGCGGUGAAAGUAAGCGCUAACUCUUAACACACUAUGGAUAGGAAUAAACCAAAACAAACUACAGUACUUCGUUUUGCUAAGGAAAAGAAUCGAAUGCUAAUAAUCAGUAGAGAUUGCGGGAUAUGGGAAUGGAAGGGAUGUGAAAAGGUAGAAAAGGCCAUCUCUCCUUUUUUUGUCUGUCUCAAGAGCAUUAGAAAGAUUCGUCCCGGGUCGGGUCCCAGGUGGUUUACGACUCGCGCUGUGGUACUCUGACGUGUACGUGCUGGAGGCAGGAGAAGAACAAAAGGGAGAGGGAGCCCCGCUGAUACUUUCCAGUUUUUAGCGUUCGUAGUUCGUAAAGGAGGAUAGAACGGUUUACAUUGAUUGUGGUAUAGGGUUUACAUUGAUUGUGACUUUAAUACAGAAACUCGUGUCCUUAUGAGAAGCCAAUGAAAGAAAUGCAGUAAUAGAUUCAUUUCAUACAUAAACUCGUUCUUAUGAAAGAAAUAAGGUAAUAGAUUAAUGGAAUGGGAACCCAUUUCGAAGCGAAGCUCUCUCGAAGCACAAGAAGGAAGGUAGGCGGGGAAGGACAGAAUAGCCGCUUUCCACUUCAGGACUACGCAACACGUGAACUGAACCCUCUAAACGCCUUAAUAAGGGGCGCUACACUCCAUCCAUACAUAAAGGUGAACAACUCUAUACUAGUUUCAAGAGGAUCUACUACGGAAUCUGCUAAAACGGUUCUAAUGAGUUUCCUUACUCUUUAUUAUCUCAAACAACGAGCAAAGUGACGGGCGCACCUGUUGCAUGAUCCUGGAGACAGUCUAUGCUUCUUUUUCUCGUCUUUCUCCUCUAUUCUGAAUUGAUUGACUAUUUGGACUUUGUCAAAGAAGAAGCUUCGCUUCCUCAUUCUACUUUACUGAAAGCGCAGCCAUUUCAUUUGCUUUGCCAGUCUCUCCAAUCUAAAGCAAGAGAUUCAUUAUCCAGUUAAAGCUGUGAGUGUCGGGUGCCAAUCUAAUUCUCCAAGACUUGUAACCGAGCAUCGUUAGCAGCAAUUGGAUAGGGUUUCGUCUUUGAACCACCUGGUUUAGGUUUACAGUGGUAUUGUUUGUGUUUCAGUCUGCAAGGGAAGCAGUUAGGUAACAUAAUUCCCUCAGUGGUGCUCGAGAUAUAAAUAAGUCGAAAUAAGAAGUCUUUGUGUUCUCUGCGCCUAGUACUCCUUUAGUUUGAGGCGGGCUGGGCUCUCAUUACAUCAUUAAUCCAUAAUUCCUGUUUUCUGUUGCAAGUUAAAGUACAGGUCCACGACCAAUCUGUUAAGUUGAUUAUGCAAAGGGUCAUAUUCUAUCAAGAUACUUGCCGUAAGAAACUAGUGCUGUUGUCGGUUAUCCAAAUGAAUGAGUUUCUUCGUAUAUAGAUAUGGAUGCUGUGCCGAAUUAAGCUGUUAGAGCAGUGGAAGAGGAAGCAUAAUUGCCAGUUACAGUUGAGUCUCCGAGCCAGUUACAGUUGAGUCUCCGAGAGAAGAAAGGCCUGUUCAAAAGUCAUUUACUCAAGAAGAAUCUAAAGCAUACGUUGCACUUGCCAGAGGCGGAAUGACAAGUUUCCGUUUCAUCUAUAAGAUCAUCUCUUGGCGAAUGAGUGCCCACAACUAGUCCUUUCUUCGUAGUCAUCUUAAGCAGUGUGAGCUCACCGUAUGAAGAGUAGAGAUCAGUAGAGUAUAUUUCUGUUCGAGGUUAAGAGUAGAGAUCAGAUCUUAUCGAAUACCAACGUUGCAAGGAUCUACUCAUUGCGCAAUAAACAAGUGCUUUUCUCGAGGGUCAAAUGCCUUUAAAGAGCCAUAGGGGUAUUAAUAGAUGUGUGACCGUUGUUUCCCAUAGCAUAGGUCCAAAUUCCCAGAAAGAUGCCUUUUCUCGAGCGCGGGGCACUGGUAUAUCUCAUUAUUAAGCAGGAAGGAAGGGUGUCGAAAAGUGUCUAAACAGGGAUUCCACUCUUACAGGCCAUUCUUAUGCUUCAUAUCUUUUACCACUGGCUCCAACUCUAUAUUCGAGUUCCGACUAAAACAACUAGUUGGACUUCUUCUCUUUUCACUCAAAGAUAUGUUUCUUCUCUCUAGGAUUUCUGUUAAGUUCUUGUUUGUUUUCUUGCACGUUCACUUUGGAUUCUAAAAUAGGCCUGGACGCUUACUCGUACGCACCAUCUAUUAACCUUUGUUUCAUUUGUGUCAGUAGAAAGGGCGAGAACAAGUGUAUGAGUGUAAGUUGAAAGAAUUAUUUGUGUCCUCUGCGCUCGAAAGAGCAGUAAAAGUAUUUGUGGAAUUUAUGGUUUCUAGUUUACUAUACUAUAGAUUUAGUCACAGGGGGAAGUAUAGUAUAUAGCUUAAAUAGUCCGUCGUCCAAGUAAGGAUGCAGGCUCAAGUAAGAGGUAAGUCGCAUCCGCUGCUCGAGUGUUGUCUACUGGAUCAGAUGCUGUGCUUUGAAAUGAUGUUCUACAGUCCCGUUCGGAUGCUCAGUCUAGUUCGGGUACACGGGUGUUGGAUCUUCGGCAGUACCAGUUCAAUCCAGGUUCGGUGCUGUAGCUCAGCUCCUUGUACAGAAUACAGGUAGAUAACUUCUGCCAGCGCCAAGUCAAUGAGUGGAAUCCCGAGUUUCAUCCUAUAUAUAAGAAGAAUAGGGAACCCAGAUCUUAAGCUUGAUCAUCAGCAGUUUAGUAUCAAGGUGUUGUCGACUCCCUUCUCGCUCUCUUAGUCCGUUUCUUCUCCAUUGUAGUUGUAUAUUAGACUCUUAGUAUAAGCCGAGGAUUCCAUUUAUUAGGUCUCCACCACUAUUACAGACUCAUCUUCUAUACUAGGGCUAGAAAGUGAUAUUUGGAUGGAAUUGUCAUGCCGUAGAACAUACUUUCGGGUACCCCAAUUGUGUUUAGGAUUUGCCAUUCUCUAAGUUCACCCUGGAUGUGAUGAAACAAGAGCAAGAGACUUAUAUGGACUCCGUACCGGGGCUCGGGCUCCUGCCGUGCAACAAGAACAACUGCCGCGCAACACACACUAAGUUGAAGCUCCUUUGGACAGGCUCGGACACAUUGAGUACACCCUAUACAUGUAUAAGAAAUCCUUACUUAAUGUGACAUCGGAUCUAUCAUUUUGGAAAGACGGGCAGUCCUCACGUUAUUGAACUCUUGUCUGUCAGUGAGUGAUUCAUAGUUUGUGUCAAGAAGGGGGCAUAGCGUCUCAUCUAUUUAACAAAUUGGUGGAUGUUUUGUAACGAGAGUGGAUUCCUUUUGGGGGUUCUUUGUCAUUCUGCUAACCUGAAAGAAGGAAUGAAAGAGCAGCUCCUGUGGUAAACAAAAGGUGGAAUUAUCCGGACUGUACGGACUAUCAUCCGAUGAGGCAAAAGGAGGAUAGAAAGUAGAUGAUAAAGGUCAGCGACAGUGGACGUUACUCUAGCGGAAUUUCAGUCUAUUCACAAUGAGAUAAUAAUUAUGAAUGUGAAGUGUGUUCGAGCACAAGGUGCUUCAAAGCGAAAAAGAGUCCUCUACUUUGACUUUGAAAGCUCACUAUUGUAUCACUGUCCGCUCGGGUUCUUCUCCGAUCCGGUCUUUUUUUCAAAGGGAGGGAAUCAAAGUAAAGCUAGGCUGGAAAGAUGUCUUUCCCAGUCUCCCAAUCGCCCCACCCAGCCGGAGUUUCUCUAGAGUGCAGCCAAAGGCGAAGAGAUUCUUCCAUAACCAAUCCAAGGUAUGGAGGAAGCUUGUUACUAAGAUCCCUUGUUUGGUAAUUAAUAUCCCAGGAUACAGGGUUUCACUUCUUUGUCACGGUUUGUGAGUCAACUGAUUCUGUAUUGAGCCGGCUUUUACAAACAAGCCCUAGUUAUUUUUGUAACCUCCAAGAAAGCAAGCCAAAAGUCCUAGAACUAGAAAAGCGAUAUUUCCUAGGUAACAUCCAAGGGAUGAAAAACGGACCCUACUUCCUGUGUACUCCACUUCUUAACUACUAUUUCUUAUUGUUGCCCCUCAAAGCGGUAACCGGUGCACUAAUAAUACCCUUCCUCUCGGCUAUCUCUCUUUCAAUUAACGCUAAAGGCAUGUUCUUUAUUGUAGAUAAUAUAAUCAAGGUAAUUCGAGUCAGAGAGAUAGAUGAUUCCAUUUCGUUCUUUACUUCAAGUCAUUCUCAGAGGCAAAAACUGGCUUAGAUGAGCUUCCUCUGCUAAUGGAUAGAAAUCAUGGCAAUCGUUGGUGCAGAGUUCCAUGCAGUUAGAAGAAGGCUUUUCACUAGCCUUGAUGAAAGCGACGAAGAGCGAGUCAAGAAUUCGAUUACCACGACAGAGGGCCUCGUGUGUUUGUGAGAGAUAGCUCCUAGUUCUGAAUGAACUGCUUCGAGCGAGCUGCCCUUAUUAUAUGACACAGGAUGUUCAACCCCAAUUAUGGAACUAGAAGCACAAGGCUCGAUAGACCUUAACUAUACUCCUCUGGAAUGAAGUGAGUCUAUAUACAACUGGAAUGAAGUGAGUCUAUAUACCAUACAAUAAAAGAGAAAAGCGGAUCUUGAUAGAUUGCCCUAGCCCUGCCAUCAAUCACUGAAGAAGGAUAGACCUUUUGAUACUUCGCCUUUUCUUUCAUAUGGAAAUGUCGCCAAAUGCUUGCUCUCCCGAAGCUAUGAAUUCCCUCUUUCUCGGGGGCUAGCGCAGCUCUCUCUUGUAUUAGCUAUAGGGUCAAUCCGACUAGAUCUAGGGUCAAUCAAAUCAGACUGGUAAAGAGGCAGGAAUUAUCCAAAAUAGGAAUGGUAGGCUCAUAGGCUGUAAAGCAAGACUAAAGAAAAGGAAGGGCUGCCUAACAUAGGGGUGUAGUAAGUCAGGGUUUGUUCCCUAGGAGUGAAGGCUAGUUUUUUGGAGUCUCGUAUUGCUAGCACCAGUAAAAGUCUGAGUUAUUAUAUUAAUGCUUCUUAGUAUGUGCGCGGAUGUCGUACCUGUCUUCUGAUUUCCCAGUUCCACUCUUAUUAGUGAUAGAUGCAUUCUUUCCAGUAAGUAGUGCAAUUCCAGUCCUGUUUUCUUCUUUGAGUUGGAAUAGGAAUAUCCAUCAGUUGGGGAAUAAAUAAGUAUACAGCAUGGGAGUAUACAGCAUGGUCGGGUAAUAUAGAAUAAAUAAGGGGUUUCCGAGUCAAUAGUCAUGGGAGUUUGAAGAGUCAAAUAGCUUGAGUUUGAUAGCACAGAUCCGGUUCAGGAGUCUUCGAGUUCAAAGCACUAGUGGAUUUCCUGUCAGCACUAGUAGGAUCCCUAGUUUCUUGUUUUGUUUCAAUUGCCAGAUGCGCACUAGAUCGUACUUCUCUAAUAAUACUAAGUUGAACUCAUGUUUACUCCUAUUAUUCUUAUGUCCCUUUGUUCAAUUCCGAUUAUCGUUAGUUAAUUCCCUGUUCCGAGCUAGGGUCCUAUACUUAUAAAUAGUGGUUUCAGUCUCUCUUUUAUUAGUUUCGCUCUAAUAGCAGUUAGGAUCUCUGCCCGAAGGAUGUAAUAAGCAAGUCCAGAAUUCUAGCCGGUAGAGCAAGCCCGAGAUGAAGUCAAGUAAGCCUCUAAUCCAAUAAAAGGAAAGUCAAGCCCAGAAGCCAGAAAAGCAGCAAUCUUUCCGUUUUCUAGGAGUCAAAGAGACCGACUUGGCAAAUAUUAAUUGCGCUAUCGCUCUGACUCUCCUGUCUCUCUGCCUUACUUCCUGUUUACCUUAUCUUUAUCCCCUGGCUUUGAUUCCUCUACUAAUAAGAGAACAACUGGUGCCUCUCAUAACCAACCUUGAAAAGGGGGAAUUCAAUCCAAAGUAAGAGAAUCAAACGAGUAAGGCAAGGGCUGAAAUCACCGACAACAGACAAGUAACCACCAAUUAGUGAUUAAGAAGUUAUUACUGCAGUUGUAUUCGCAGAACUCGAUCCAAUAGUCAAAAAGCCUUAUCUUGAUAUCGAUGCCAAGCCUCCAUUACUAAGUAGUAAAUCUGACACUUGUUUGGGUAUUCAAUGGAUUAAGUCAUAAGCGAACUGCUAACUAUGAGAUUGAAAACUUGUCAUAAGGAAACCAACCACUGCUUAGCGGGCUAACCAACCACUGCUUAUCGGGCUAUAGUUACUGAGCCAGAUCCCUACUUCUCUUCUCGGCUUGACUCUUAUACUGGGUUUGUUGAUUCCUGUGCUCUUGUUUCUGUAAACUAACCACUCCACUACUACUUUAAGGAUCCUAUCCCCGGUUUGAUUCUUUGUUUACUACUUUGUAUGGUAGUUGAGUUCUUACUUCUUUGUUUCAUUAAUACUUUCCUACUUGAGAGAAGAGUUACCUUACUUAUAGCUUAUUGCCUAAUUGCAGAAUAUUGGUCAUAGGGUAAAGAGAAAGGGUUGAUGCAAUCGGUAACUAUUUAUUUGAUACCUGAAUUCGGAUCUCUGUAACGAGCAACUCUGACGCUGGAGCGGAAUUCUUUCUUAUUAGUAAGGAAUGCUAGGUAAGUGGGAGUGCUAGGAAGGCGCAAGACUCUCGCAAAUAACUAUACAUAAUGUAUUAAUUAGUUGCUGUUAUAAACAAGUGCUUUUUUUAGUGCUUUGUUCACCGGUGUCAUUAACAAGUCCUAAUUUUCAUAUGUCUUUCUUUGUUGUCGUAGAUAUUAGGACUACCGCUACACUUACGUAGUUACUUGGUAGGUGCGAGAAAGCCUUUACUUUACCUCGCCUCGCCUCAAAGCCAGUAGCUGAAGAUUCUUAUAGCAUUGGUUACCGGGUGGGUUUCUUUGAGUCCAACCCCAAGCAUGAAAGGCAGGUCUUCAAGGAUAGGUCAUGAGCUGGAGCUAGGUAAGUCCGGAUAGGUAGGCGGGCAGGUCUAUCUUGCUUUAUACCCGGGUAGAGAAUAGAGUUGACUUCAAACUUGUAGAGAAAUCUCGCUACGAAAAAGUCAACUAUCCGCUUGUGUCUCUGUUACUAGUUUAGUGCGGUUAAGAGCUUACUGACGCCGAUGUACUUGUUUCAGAAUUCCACUCCUCCUCGUAGAAGAAGAGAAGAGAUGAGCCAGAGUAUGAUGAGACUGCCCUUCUUUACUAUGAAUUUGAAUGUAUCCAAGAGAAAUCAGUUAGUAUAAGAGAAGGUCAAAAGAAAGAGUUUCUUAUUAGUGGGAAGGCGCAGUGAUUGAAUAGUCACCCUACCAGAAUCUCCAUGGAAUGACUCGAUCCAUGAAGCCUUUCUUACCCACAUAUCGGGAUCUUUCUAUCUAGGUAAGGUUAGCCACAUUGAAGUUAGUGCUCCACCCCUUGGUAUGGUACCGGAAGCACUUUGUAUUGGUACUAAAUGUGUUUCCCUGCCUUGAUAGGAGUCAAGGGUAUCAGAGUUUAGAGUUGUAAGUAAGGAUUCUCCUAUAGAUACAAUUCCAGUCUGUCUUCAUUCAAUUGAUCAGUCUUCCAUUCCACUAUUCAAAAGUGAGAGUUGAGAGUGUAGGGAAGUCUCCUAUAGGGCUAGUACAUGUGUGACUUCCAUGCUUUGUAGGGCACAACAAGAAGGAGCGAAGCUGCGAGAACGAAUGGGAGACGGUCCAUGUUAAUAGAGCUCGCAUAUGUCGAAGAAAGAGGGGGGUAGAAAGAAGAGAGUGGUUCUAGAGUUGCUCACCUUGCAGGGACGGACGGAUUAAGCAGAAGCUGAAGGGCGUCAGGCAGAGGGUCUCGAAGUGAAGUAUCUUCGGCUUACCUUUUUGCUUGUUCCGUGUUAUAGCAAAUAGUAGAGCCAAGGUGAAGCUCCUGGAUCCGUAGCUCGGUAAAGGAAUGACAGAAAUAACUUAGCCUUGGUAGAUCAACUCAAGGUACUGACAAAGCUCGUAAGAACGCGGAUUCCAAUGAACAAGAAUAACGACUACUAGGAAUAGCAGGGCUAGUCAACAAUGGUUAAGUUGGAACACUCGCUUCUCGCUUCGAAAGUGGAGUAGUAACCAUUUUCGUAAUUGCCAUCCUAUAGGAGAGGAGAAACUCUUUAUUUCUAGUUCGUAGAGAUCCGAUUGAGAAGUUAUUGAUCUGGACAAUCCCAGGUUCGUAGAGAUCCCCGAUUGAGAAGUUAUUGAUCUGGACAAUCCCAGGUUGUUUGUUACGAAGGUUGCCUGGUCUGACUCAGCACAUAAUGAAAGGGCUUUCCUCCUACUAGAAGAAAAGGGGUCAAGUUCAUAUUCAAAGAAGGGAAUCUUGUCGGGAGCCCCUGAUUAGCGGUUGGAAGCACGACGGAAUCUAAAUAGACCAACGCGUGCUCCACCUAUAAAAGAUGGAAGAGUACGCUCGAUAUAUCACAGAGGAGGUAAUGGGGAUCAAUAGAUCUAGUAGCUCGUCCUAGGAUGGUACAAGCCCCAUAAAAUAGCAUACUUCGGGCCUUAUAAUCAGACUGCAAAUUCAAUGGAUGCAUACUUCGGGCCUUAUAAUCAGACUGCAAAUUCCAUUAGUUCGUAGUGAUCUAAUGAAAUGAAAUGGAUUGAGUUCUACAUGAUCUAAUGAAAUGAAAUGGAUUGAGUUCUACAUGAUCUAAUGCUGGGGUUAGGGAGGAGAGUGUGCGACCGCGAAGUGAUAGGUUGCUUCUGAUUUUGGAUCGGUAAUUCUAGAGUAGUCCCUUUCUUUUUUAGUGUAGAGGAUUAUUGCCCGAGCUGGCUGGAGCUUUUAGUAGUAUGUGGGAGCGCCCUUUCUUCCUUUCCAUAAAUUCCCACUAAAGAUGUUGGAGUGCUACAUCGUCGAGAUUACUUCGCUUGCCUGUUGACGGUUCCCUUUAUGUCAGGAUGAAAGACAAAUGAAUACAAUGUCAGAAAUGACCAGGAUGAAAGACAAAUGAAUACAAUGUAAGAAAUGACGCGAGAAGGGAAGUUUCAAGUUCAAAUACUGGUGUUGGCGAUGAUAGAGGCGAGGCAAUUCCCCGUUUCGGGUUUCAUUCUGUUACUACUAGACAAGUCAGUAAGAAUUCCGUGAUAGGAGCAAUAGGUAUAGGAGCCGAAUUAAGCAAGGCAAGUAAGAAGGAAGGGAGUUCAUUCCGCAAGUAAGAAGGAAGGGAGUUCAUUCCGCAAGUAAUAAUUCAGGGAGUGUAAUUCCGCAAGUCAUAAUUCAGUCAGGGUAUAAGAUAAGCGGGUACGAUCUAGCUCUGUACUAAUACAUGUCAGAAUAAAACAUAUAGGCUUUUCACGCAAUUGAUUCAAAGGUUCAGUUAAGUAGAAAGUGUCAUCGUACUAAGAAUCAUAGGCUCAAGCAGAAGCAAGAUAUGGAGUAGGAAUAAGAUCUGAAGCCGGGUGCUCAAUAGUGAGAAUUCCACUCCUACACAGUAGGGAAAGUGAGAAUGGAAUGGCAACGAGGGAAGUUGACUUCACAACCGCACCAGAGCUAUCAAGGAAAAUAUCCAAACUGGAGCUGUUGUUUGGACUGUUGUUUGCUUCUAAUUAAUAUCAACUAACUAAUAGAAUGACUCUAAGUAUUUUGACUCUAAUAAAACCACUAGUGGAAUUACGAUAAUCAACCUACUAUUAUGAAAUACAAAUAAGCAUAUGAUAAAUAUAAGUCAAUAAUAAACUAAGUAAAGUCAAAGAAGCAGAGACAGGGUAGACUAAGUAAAAGAAUAAUAGACAGGUUAGUCAGAUGAAAAGGAAGUAGAGGCGGGCUGCCAAUAGGGGGGAACUCACAAGGCAUUGAGGGUCGGUAGUGCAAGUCUUAUUCCCGAGUGAGAUUCAGCAUAUUCCCUGGUUCUCGGUGUUCUCAUUCUCAUCAGUAUCAGUGUGCGAUUCUUUCAGUUGGUCUUAUCAGCCUUGUAGUAUCUCGAAAAAAGUAUCUGACUUGAGACCAGUAUACUCUAUUUCAGGCUUGCGGUGAACUAUUGCAUUCUCAUCGGUAGUGUUUUCAGUCUAAUAGCUUUUAGAGGUUUCCAGUUUCUAAGUUCAAAAGCACUAGUGGAGUUCCUUAUUCAAAGUAUGAGUUCCGAGCAAAGGUAUUAAAGGCAGUAGAGCAGGAUCCGAAUCAGUAGUAAAAGAACGAAACUAUAAAUAAAGAGUUGAAACCAAGGAGAGGUAGAUUGAAAGGAGAGAUAUAGAAUGCAAAUCCGGAUAGUAAGCCAGUUUGCUAGCAGCUCCAAACUCUUAUUAACAGUAGUCCGAGUCUAAUAGGCAAUGAAAGCCCUGUUUCGAGUUAAAGUAUGAUUAGGCGCAAGUUCCAUUCUUUUACCACUUAGUAGAUUAUGAUAAUUUCCAUAGGCCUAUGCCUUUUAUUACACCUAUACAGGUAACAUCGUACCCAUUUAUAUGACUUAUCGGUUGGAUUCCGAGAAGCCAACAGGAGUUUGCUGCUGGUACAGCCUUGUUUGCUGUGUUUGAAGUCUCGGUAGCACUAGUUGUAGGUUGCAAGCUAAGAUAGGUAUACUCAAGCUGAGGAAAGGUAGGCUUGGAAGUAAGUGUUAAAGAAUAGCGGUUUGGGUAGCAAGGCUGUUAGGUUGUAGUCGAAGAGUGAAGGAGAGCAAUUGCAGGUUGAAAGCAAGGAUAGCUAGAGUAAACCCAAAGAAGGACAGGCUCAUAGGGCAGUAAAGAGACUAUUAUUGGUAGUAGUAGGGUGAUUCUAGUAGUGAGUUGGAAUGAGAGGGACUAAAUACAGAUGUAGAUUCAAGAGAUCCAGAGUGAAACUAGUACAAAUAGGAGUGUGUGAGCUGCAGCAUUGCUAGUUCCGAGUUCCAUUCCCCUUUCUCAAGUGAAAGCCCUAGUUCCGAGUUCAAGUCUCAGAGUACCCAAUUAUGGAUUCUUUAUUCUUUUAUUUAGUCUACUAGUUAUUAGCAUAAGAGUUAGCCCGGGGCAAGUUAGAUUUUCUAUCAGAGUCUCAGAGUGAAAUACAUGUUUGGAAGCUAUGAAGUAAGGCUUGGCAUGAACACCAACAAUAUACCGUAUUUGAAAGUCUGGAUCCUAAUCAGUAGCUCUAUAGUCUUCAAAGAAGUUUUUGGAUUCCUUGUUCCUAGUUGAGUUCACUGAGUUUACUUCCCUGUUCCGAGUUUAGUCUAUCAGAGGGGGGGUAUUGUCCAAUUCCUUAUUAAUAAUCAAAAGGAUCCGUAUUCUGUGGCGAAAGAGUCAAGGUAAGGGUAGCGAGCCUGUUUGCUAGUAGCCUGAUUAUUAUUGAGAAGAUUGAUUUCCUUAGUGUUGUUUUAUCUUACAACUACUAAAACUAGUAGCCUUAGAGCUAGUUCAUCUAAGAAUGGAAGAAGUAAGUACCAUACCCUUCCGUCGUGAGAGGGCAGGAAAUUAGACAGAAACCAAGUAUAGAAAGAACGUAAGACAGGAGUUUAGGAACGAGAAGCAAGAGAAUAAGGGCUGAGACUGUGGAUUGGCUGUUUGAUAAAGCUAACAAUCAAGGCUUGGCUACUCCGGGGCAUGUUGGUUAUGAUACCGAUUAUUUGCAUUCUUUCUUUGAGUUAGAAACAAGUCCUGUGUUCUGGAGCUACUGCCAAUAAGGUGGAAACAAGAGACCGGGAAUAACACACUCGAUAUAAAGAAUUGAGCCCUGCUGGCAAAGAAUCCAAAAAGUCAAAUAAAGAAAAGGAUGCCUUGGGAAUCUAGAGCGGAGCGGGUGAGUCAAAUACUUGAACUUAUGAGCCUAGGAAUGACAACACCCCAUAUAGACUUCAAAUAGUCCAAAUAUGAUUUGAAACACUAAUACGGCUACUCGAACAGCAGCUAACAAGACUCGCUUUCUUUAAGGACCAUGAGCCUGACCCCUAAUCCGACUAUCCUUUUUCUUAGCCUACUGCUACUUGCUUAAAAACUGUAUCUAGUGCUUAUAAGACCACCACUACCUAUACCAUAUAUAUAUAUAUGUAAGCAUGAACUACAGGAGCAAUAAGAAUUGACUUAAUGCCUAAUCGACUUGGACUUAUCAGUAGCUCCGUUCCUAUUAGCGGAGGAAUCAGACUUAUAAGAAGGAGUUGUAUAACUAGAGGCAGUAGCGAGAGUUUCAACCAAUAGAUAGGGAAUUUCUAUCAGUAGGAGCAGACCAAUCGACGGGGUUUAGUUCUUAUAUGACAAUUCAUUCUUCUAUUAUAUAUUACUCAUUAUUGAACGGUAUCGGAUCAAGUCUUGUUGAUCCUAGGUUGAUUCUUUCUAUUGAUCUUACUGGUCUUGUAGCGUAGGAACGUAUCCAUUGAUCUUAUUUGUCUUGUAGCGUAGGGCGAACGGUCUAGUCGAAACUUAGGGAGGACAUCCAUCUAAUGGUAGAAAGAAAGUCCGGACAUCCAUCUAAUGGUAGAAAGAAAGGGAGGACAUCCAAUCUAAUGGUAGAAAGAAAGUCCGGACAUCCAAUGGUAGAAACAACGAACAACGAGGUGGUCCAUCGCAUAUGCUAUGAAGGUACUGCGCCCCUGUAAUGAUUGAUUUUAGCUACUCCGUGGUGGGACCAAUCAUUCUGUGAGCAGCUAUGUGUGCUCUGGCCCAGCAACUACGUCUUCGGUCGUUGACUGAGAACCUACCGUGCUUUAUUGCAGACACCACUCAGAGAUAGAUAGGUCGGGCAAGCUCACAUUAUAUAUGAGGUCGGGCAAGCUUUUCGCUCGAUGUUGAUGAAAAAAAGUAAGGAUGAUAGUGGUCAAUACGGAAUGAAAAGAAACCACGAUACAGAGAAUGACUUCGGGAGGCGGUGGGGUGGACAACCUAAGAACGAGAUAGGGGAGCGAAAGAGCUAAAGAAAGGAUCGGUAUGGCACUAUGAUAUGGUAUGAUAUAAUAUGGUAUGAUAUAAUAUGGUAUGAUAUAGUAUGGUCUGAUAUAAUAUAUGGUAUGAUAUAAUAUGGAUGGUAGACGUACCCACCACAUAUCCAAGGGAGGAACAAACAAACCCAUAUUGAACUAAGUAGUCAAAGGAUGGAGCUAGGGACGGGAGCAGAUGUAGCUAGGUAAGUGAGGAGCGUGGAUCGAAAGAAGACAAGAUAGAGUUAAUCCUAUUGGGCCUAGAAUCCAUAGCGAACUAAAGGAUUAAAGGUAGGUAGGUAGGGCAGGUUAAGAGACAAUAGGUUGGUGCUUGACUUUAAGUAAAGAAGCGCUUGACUGAUACUUAUAUACUGGUGCAUUUUCUCCAUUAAUAUAGACUUGGUUAUCAACUUCCUAACGCUUCAGACUGGAACAAAACUACAGCCCGAUGACAAAAAGAAAAAGACAAAAACCGUUCUUUUACUACUUGCUUUCAUCCUUAUUGCUGUGGUUUGGUCUCAUAGUUAUGAUUUAGAAAAGCUUACAAAUUUACCCAAUGUAGGAUUACUAGUACAUUCCAUUCCCUGUAGGAUAACUAGUCAAUUUCGUGUAUCUAGUACAUUCUAGUUUGUUAAUAAGUACACUACCAAGCUGACCCUACCUCUCUUUCCAUUGGCACAACUAAUGCUAUCAAAAAACACUCAGCCAAGUAACGACUACAAACACUAAGAAUUGCAGAAUUCGGAUUAUGUCCACCAAGACUUCAAGCUUAUAAACUCCAUUCUGAAAGUAAAGAGCACAUUGGUUCGUUAGUGACCUUGUUCCAUCCUACCUGGCACUGGCAAAUGAUUAUGUUUCUGACCUUUAGUUCAAUGAUGACUUUUGGAUACAGAGCACUAGGCACGGCGUUACCGGCUUCUAUUAUACCUACCUCGCUCAAUCCUCUUAUUAGGUUAACGGUAUACCUCGCUCAAUCCUCUUAUUAGGUUUCUUUACUUGUAGUGAUACUCUUACGAGCUACUCAAUUCUUAAAGGAGCACAUGGUAGGCUCACAAUUCCAACUUUUCAAUUCCAUUCUUAAAUGACUACUUGAGAGAAAGAGAACAGUUAGUAACCCUAAUAUAUCAUGCCUAGUGGGUAACAAUAAUUCCUCUGUAGCUUGUCGAGUUCCACUUAUUGCGCAAAAUGGCAUCUUCUCUCGUAGACAGUAAAGCAAGCAAGCGCCAAUAACCUCUGCGCCAAUAACUCUCCCUUAUAUUAGCGCCAACCCAGAGAAAACUCAUUCAUGUGUCUCAAUUGUGAAUUCCGUAACCGUAAGCUGAAGUCCACGAAGAAACUUUAGCUGGCACACUUAGUAUCGUUUGGCCAGUUGAGUCUUAAGUUCAUUAUGAGUCUGGUUCUCUUCUGUCAACAACUCAUUAAUUUGCAUUUGACACUCCUUACGCGCAUAAAUAAAUAAUCUCAUUGUAAACAACUUUCCCUGACCCAGGAGAGGAUUGAGCGGUCAAGUCUAAAGUAUAGUUUGACUUUUCUCCUAUCUAUUAAGUCAGAAGCCGCAGUCGAGGAUCAUGCCCAAGAAUAGGUUACAUCGAUAAGUACUGAAUGGUCCGAGUGGAAUUAUUGUGGAAAUAGAAUCUGCCAGUUGUGUGCCCUUCUCGCGUAUGGCCCCAGUCCCACUUAAAGGGAAUAAACCUUCUUUGAUUUUCGUGGUAAAGCUCGGUUUGGUUUUCACUCCUUUUUCUUGGUUAGCCUACUCAGUAAUUCCGAACAACAGAACAAGCAAACUCUGAAAUAAGACCCUAGUUGAAAGAACAGGAAAAGGAGACAGACAUUUGGAUCAAACUCAUACUGGAAAGACUUCUUUACCACGUAACACGAUAGUAGUAGCAUUAUGAUCAAGCCCGGGAUCCUCUUCAAAGUAGGAAAGUUUCAUAUCGGCCAAGAAGAGAAGGAGACCCCAGAAAUCUAUUUCUUGUAAGUCGAGUUACUCCGUACCUUUCGUAUCUUUCAUCUGAGAACGACAGCAGGAAAGAAGCACUAAACAAACCAAAAUCUAGAUAGGGCUUCCAUAACUAAAGCAGAAGCGAAGCCCGCCGGAGCAUAGAAGGACUUAAAAGAACAGACCCUACACUACCACUAAAAAAGAGGUGACCGGCUACUAAAUACCAGUUCGUAACCCUUAGGGUGUAGCUUUCGAACAAUUGGCUUCUUUUAAAAGGUAGUUAAACGGGAUUCUAAUGAGAUUCUCAUUUCUUCUAUGAAUUCGAAUGAGAUUCUAUAUUCUAAUGAGAUUCUAUUUAUAUUAAUCCAAAAUACAUCCCUUGGCUUACAUUAAAUAGGGAAUUACUGGAAUAGGACGGACCGAGAGCUUCUCUUGCUCCAAGAUACCCUAUAUGAAAUGGAAUGUUAUGAUAUUUGCACCUAUAUGCACGUACUAUUUGGAAACUCAGCUCACCCACGGAUCUGGAAUCGCCCGAAUAGGGGUAUAAAGGUGAAAAGAGUCGACGGACGUGGCCAAGGGUCUUUGCUUUCGAGAGGAACGACCCCUCUCUUGGAUUUGGAGAGGUGGGUUUGCCGUUGCCUGCAGCUAAGUUACCAAGUGAGCGAAACCACCCGUAUUCUAAUCCGUCCAUAGGAGUUAUGCCAGCAAAGUCAACCAGGGUGUACCAACACAAAAUUAUGUAACGCCCGAAAGGGGGCUAGGCUCUUCUUCUGUAUGAGCAUCGAGCAUAAGACCUUUCACAAUAGGCCUAAGAAGGAAGUUCGCUCUUGACUAUGUUAUUGAUCUUGCUAACUCGUGAACUAACUAAAUCCAGUGGUUCUUUCCCGGCCCUGAGCUCCCUUCUAUUAGGCAUUUGAGCUAUAUGCUAUUAUUCCUCUUAUAGUAGCUAGAGAUCGAGUAUCAUACAAUUGAUCCGCUAAUAUGGUAUGCUCUUUCUAGGGAUAUAGCACUCUGAAAUAAGGUAGUAUUCCCUCUAUACUAAGCGACGGUCUGGUCCGCCUGUAGUUUAGAGCUUGCACGUAAGCAGUCAGCAGCAAUAACCGUAUAAUAACUCGGUAUUGGCAUGAACACAGGAAGAGUCAAAAGAUGCAUCACGGAAAACACCUAUUCUUCUGAAAAAACAAUGAAAGGUAGCACCUUAACCUCUCUCCAUGACCGACGUCAACUACAGAAGAUACUCGACUUGGACCACUACUAAAAGGGGCCUUUAACCCAUAAGGGGCGGAUUUGUAUGCUGAGUAGCAGUAAGUACUUGUUGAGUGAGUUGGGGCAAAAGGGAAGCUAUGUGUUUACUUGUGUUGGUUAACCUUCUUCUACUUCUAUCCAUACGCGCCUACCCGAGUAACAGGCAAUUAUCUUUGAACUCACAACUAAAUAAGGAAUUUCAGAAUGCAACUGGGGAUUCCACUAGCCGGAGCUCCUGCCGCCAUGAAUACAAGACUCGGGAACAACUCAUUAAGACAUGUUAUAUGAGUUCUUUACUUGAGCACUGAGUUCUGACUUAUGUCUUGAAUUCAUCCAUUACUGACUUGAGAGUUGAUCGGAGCCUACCCUCUUAUACCACUUAAGUGAAUUCUAGGUUUAUGGUUUUGUCUUCCAUUAAGGCCCUCCAUUACGAGUUUAGAGCUCAAUUCAAACUGUUGAGGUGGAUUCCCUUAUGUACCAACUCAUUCGGCUAAAGAACUUCACUUUUUGAUACAAUACUAAAAGAAAAGAGCAAGUAAGCAAGCUCCGGAACUAAGAGUGGUCGUGAUGUCCAGAGGAACUAAACUAACAAGUAGGAAAUGCGGAAUGAAAAUAGUACUAACAAGAACCAACCUCAUAACUAGGGCAGCGAACGAUGGCUACGGAUAACGAGAAUGCAACUUUGAACUAAGGGACUUGAACUCAAAACAAAGACUAACCCCGGGUGCUCAUAUUACUAAGGCGUUAACAGCAGACUAAAAGCUUGAACUAACAACUCCGAAUUGAACACUGCUUUUGAAGCCUGCCUUGCCUACACUCCUAUUCUAUAAUUCCUAUUCUAAUUAUCCUGACUUUGAUUGCCGCUCUCCCAUUUAAGUAUUCGACUACUUGCUUAAAGCCUGUGACUGCUAGCUCUGGGCUUGGCACUCCCCAUUCCCAUUCUUCAACAAAUGCCUAUGCAUCUUGCUUUACAGCUUCUCGGCCUGAAACUACCUACUCGUUCAAUUGUGAGUAUGCCUUUCCUGCCUUACAGUACGUAGUGCACCUCUUGACCUGCCCCUACAGCCUAUGAGUUUUGCUUUACUUGCUUUUGACUCUUGCCCCGUUCCCCAGUCAUAGUUAGGAGAUCGAUAUGAACAUCAUGAACUGUUUUUGUUGGUCGAAAGGUUUACACUAUACAAUGCUUCUUUUCGAAAUGAGUAAGGGCGACAUACGAAAAGGUGCACGUGCAGAGGUCUGUCUCUAAAAGUAUCUAAAAGAGAGAAAGGAAAAAUAGCUGCUUGCUUUUAAGGGGAAGUCCAGAGCGGCAAGGGAGAGAUUGAUUGAUUCUAAGGAAAGAUAGGCGUUCGGCUAACUCGCUUUACCCUUAUUCCAAAAUAGACGAUGCCACCGAUAGAAACGGCUCUGUGGGCUCUAAGGAAUGAGCCAGCUGACGCUGCCCUUGUGCUUGCUUGCUCUUACACUAUUGUUUCCUUCUUGUUUCCUUAAAGAACUCUUAUUUCGGCAUAACUGCAUUGCUUGCUUAAGAACGGUGCGCACACAGAUGAUAUGAUAGAUAGAGUAGUAGUAGUAGUAACCUAAUUCUGAAACUCUAAGAAGCUAACCGAUACGAUGAUGAAAGAAGCUAACCGAUACGAUGAUGAAGAUAGGGUUAUUUGAGCCUGAAGACAAGAAUUCACCGGGUGCAACUCAUUCACGACGCGCUGGAACUGAAUAAGGGUAUUAUGUGACUUAUUUCUAUAUGUAUGUGGGUAGCUCUCUUCUGAUUCUAACAACAAGGAAGCGGUGUUUUCCAUAUUAGAGUAACGCUCUCUUCUCUAAACUCACGUAAGCAAAAAUGGGUUAAGGUCUCUGUUUCUGUUAAGAGAGUUCGGGGAACAAGCAAACAAGCUGUUUUCUUACCUGUCAGCAGUGUUUUGUUAACCCAUUACAUAAUAGGUAUACUCACAUUCCACCAGUGUUUUGUUACCCCAUUACAUAAUAGGUAUACUCACAUUCAACGCGCAUUAGCUUAUUCGAGUUUCUCGGAGCUUAGAGUGUUUAUUACUGUGUCAUUCUAUACAUGGUGCCUAUGUCUCUGGCCUUAUUGCCUUAUUGUGUAGGAGCCUUAUAAAUCAAGUAUCUUCAGCAAGCAAGGGAACAAGUAGAAACCAUUCGUGCUGUACGCCUCUUUUGCACUAUCCUACACUAAAACGUUAGCGCUCCAUUAGCUUGUUGAGUUCAGACACGCACGUGAGCUUUGUUUUGAAGCAAUGCAUUGAGUUUAUAGAGUGUGUUUACAUUAGUCAGAGUUAAGUAAGCAGGAAGCAGUCAAGAGUAAGGUAAGCUUUGUUGUUCACUAUAUUCCAUACGAUGUGCACCGGAAGAAGAUAAGCAAACAAGUGGUAGAGUUAUGUUACUAGAUUAUAUAAUGGGUGUAAGAGAGAAUCAAUUAAAUGAACUCGCUACAGCGCUUAAAUAUACUAAAGCAUGUUCUAAACUCGCGGAAGCACUUGUCGAACUCCCUCCUUAUGGAAUGGAAUCGUAACCUAACUGAAGACUCCCUUCUCGCUUAACUAUUUAGUAUCCAUCUUUCUCGCUUAACCAUUGAGUAUUGAGUAAAAACACUGCAUUGCUUUCCCUAACCGACUUGAAUAUGCUGAAUGUGCAUACCCUAAUAUAUAAAGAAGGAAGUACAAAAUAUAUAAAGAAGGAAGUCAAAAACACCUAUUACCGCUUGUUCCCAGAGCAGCUAUUCCUUCCUUUAAUAACUAAGGCAGGGCUUGUUCCAGUUAAUAACUAAGGCAGGGCAGGGCUUGUUCCAGUGUGCUUUCCCUUGCUUGUAUCUGAGACGGGGGUGUGCUUGUUUCGGUGUGCCUUCCCUUUGACUGUUGCUGAUGGGGAGAAGACAUAUACGAGGACAGGACUUGGUUAUAACUCUCAAACAGGACAUCUUUUACUGCUUCUUUUGCACUCUCUUCUCUUUAUAAAUAAUAACUGAUUCAACAAUCACAAUAACUCUCUCUUUUCACUCGGGCUUGGCUCCAGUUGACGGGGCUCCUUUAGCCUUUCAAUUAGCACUUGCCCAGAAACUGUUAGAAUGUAUUUCUUACGAGUUAUGCUUUAAAAGUAGUAGCUUGGCCCCUUCUUUCUGUCGACAAUGAUGAAAACCUGCCAGAAAGUCGAGCCUUUCACUUCAUUGUUCAAGCUCUUUCACAUGGGUUGAGUUCAUACAUAUUGAAUGCUUUACUAUUUCAGACAUACUCCAAAUUCCUUCCUUUGAAAGCUACUACAACUACCGAAGCAGGCUUGCAUCUUUUGUGCUUACGGGGGUUUUCCAGAGAAAGAAGAUCCGGUUGGGCUUUCUAGUCUUGCCGUUGCCUUAGUAGGUUGCUGCUGUACUUCACCCAUGUUACUCCAAAUCCUUCUUAUUAGUUGUAUAUAAAUGGAUUCUUAUUAUCUUGCUUGUUUUCUUUCUUGUUUUAUGGUAAUAGAUAGAAAGAGAAAUUGACCAGUGGAAUAUAGGAGAUAAGGCAGUCAGUGGAAUAUAGGAGAUAAGGCUAUGGAAAACCGGAAAUAGAUUCCUAUAGACACUAAAUAUAGACGACCAAUUGAAAGGUAUGUAGCCCAGUCACUUCCCCCUUUUAUGGUACUCAAUCAUAGGGGUUCAAUUCUAUCUUAGGCGAUAUCAGGUUUACCUGCAGGCGAGCAAUAAGUUGUUCUCACGCUUUCUGGCUCAGUCAAGUGAACAAUGGUUGUAUAGGUACUUGGACAGAAGAUUAGGGCUCUGAUAACUUAGCAAAGAUCACACCUCCUAGAAAUGCUAUAACUGAUGUUCAAUUACCGCACCUAAUGAGCUUGAAUGGAAAGACCUUGGGGCAUCGAUGAAAGCAUCGACAUGUGAUCAAAGUACCAAAACAGCGUUGGCAUAGGUAGGACUGGACAAUACCACUUUCAUUUGAAUCGGAGGUUGGGAAUGACUAUUGGAUUCUUACUACGCCCCGGUCUGGAAUCUGUAAAAUAUCAUGGAGGGGGCAAGUGGCUCACCUUUCUCAGGUUAAAGAGAAGAUUCACACAUGCAGCUCGGACAAAGACUCACUUCAAUACCAAAACCCCAUAUGUAUCUAUCCGCAAUCGAAUGAGGCUACGAAAAGUGAAGCGUGAUCUCUCUUAUUUAGAAAUGUAAAACUAGUGAGUCAGGGACUAUGGAAAGGAAAGCCAUAAAAGGGAUAGACGUUAGCCUAGGAGCUGAGCUCGUAGAAAGGGCCUACUCCGAAAGAGAGCUAGAAUCCAUUCGUGCAAGGGUUGUCGAAAGGAAGGUUGUUAGCUAAGGUGACAAUAGAACGAUAACGAUAUAUAGCUGUAAAGAGAGUACUUGAGUAGGAAAAGAGAGUACUUGAGUAGGAACGAUAGAGAGUCAGUCGCUCACCGCUGUCCAAGGCAAUUUCAUAACCAUCGUAUGCCCGCCAAAGAGACACUAAAGAACAGAGAAGAUAUCGAUGACGUGGGCAAAGACAAAGAGGAAGCGAGCUCAGUCGAAGUCAGUUCAGUCGCUUUCGAGCAAGUAGGAAGUGGGGUUCUCAGCCUUAUUCAAAGACAACGAGUUGCUCUGGUUCUCAGCCUUAUUCAAAGACAACGAGUUGCUCUAUAAAGUAAAGAUUCCGUUGGGGGAAGCGAAGCAGAAAUCCUAUAUUCCAUUUCAUCUCAGCGGCCGCACUUCACUUCAUUAGCGGAUCCAUCAACUACUAUGGAUCAAAAGAAUCUGUACAUUGGGGUGUGCUUUGAUAGCCUCUUUUUCAAAUGGUCAGUUUGGUUUGGGACGAGAGGGACUCAAAUAGUAGUCACCAAAAGCCAUUGGACUAUGUUAAAGGCUUUUUUUUGAUAAUCAAAGGUACUUUAUUAGUUUGUAUAAAAGCACAAGGCUCUGCAAGACCUAGUCAAAGUAUCAUAGCUACGUAGGAUGAACUUGGGCUGGGGAGAGUGGAGACCCUUCAAAGCCAGAUCGAAAAAACACUACAAAAAGACAGAAUAGACACAUUAGAGACAAACAAUAUGGAUUUCUAACAAUGUGAAGUUCAAAAGAAUGAAGAGUUUUCCUCACAUCAAGGAAGCGAAGCUUUUCUUUACCGGGUGAAAAAAGGAUAAUAACAAGGUAGGGAAAUGGCCUUGUUGUACUUCCACAAAGCGACACAGCCCUUUCUUAGUGGGAUGCCGCUUUACUUCUCUCGUUCAAGGACAGUCUUAGUUGCACGACGUGCCAGAUCGAAAUCCUAAUCUUUGUAGUAGACAAUUCACUGUUUUCAAAAAACGUACAAGAAGAAAAGAAGAUGGACAGGCCUAGAUCGUUUAUACAGAAAAAAACCCUAUCGAUCCCUUAGAGAUAAGAGAAAAACUCAGAUUAUAUCGUCCUUGGUCAGCUUACCGAAGAAAGGUCGCUUGUUGUUGCUGACUCUACGAUCCAAAUCCAAAACUGGAUUCUUCCUAAAGGUCGUUACCACCAAGUCUCUUACUAACCGCGGUGGUAUUACUAGCGUCUUCAAUCAACUCAUCGCUCAAUUCGAAGAAAUCCGUUUUCCAGAAAGGAAUGAUACGCCCCGUCUUCCCCUAUGGGUCUUGUUUUACCCAGUCUUGCCCUCCGAAAGCAAUAUUCUAAGAUUCGUCCUUAUCGCGCUUUCAUAAGGUUCGGGCUUACCCCACACUCAGAAGAAUAAGGAAGACUCAGAUUGAGAUUCCGAAAAAGGCUCCCACCCUGCUUUUAUCUCUCUUCGGUCUUCGUCGAUCGAGUAGUUCGCCCCGGCAAACUGGGUGACCGGGACUACCAUAGAGUAUCAUGCGGUACUACUCCUCAUUAGAUAUGGUUCUUUCUUCUUUGUCCAAUACACACGGUAGGAUAUGGGGAAUUGUCGAGACUAGGAAGGUUUGGAAAUGAACGAGUAGCUUUAGGUAGCUCCAAGAUCGGAAAGAUAGAGGUAGCUCUAAGAUCGGAAAGAUAGAGUUGUAUGGUAUGAGAAGCUUGAAUUCCUAUUAGAAAGGUCUGGGCUAGGAGUCGAUGGCAUAUCCCCUGGAGGGCAAAGCUACUGGAGAUGGCUCUCGUUUGACACUAAUCCCGAUAUUCCAAAAGAUGCUCGACCAGAAGAAGAUGCCGACACAAGGUUUGUUGUUUAGCCAGUAGCUCGAGUUGCAGCUGACUUUAGGAAGAAAGGCUUGGAUUUCGCACAAAGCAAUCGGUCUAUGAUAGAAGUCCUUAUUUUACGUCAGGCCAAGUGCUCUGUUCUGUUAUCAUGAACUGUAUUUUAUGGGCUGGGUUUAUGGCUUGUGUCAGCAGCAUUUCCGUCUCGCAAGGUGGGGUCAUGUCAGGGCUGGGCUGUCCAGUUGCAUUUUACCCGGUAGCAAGUCGACUUCCUUUCCUAAACUGGCAUCCGACAAGUGAGUGUUUUUCCGGUUUCAAACAGUAAGGGAGGAUGAUUGCAUUGCAGGAAAGAUGGGCGGCAUUCCUAUUUUAUUCCCAAGCAAAAGAAAGAAGAACUCUAACAACUGAUAUAGAGACAAUCGCUAUUAAUUGAACACUUACUAAAUCUCGAUGCACCGCUUAGCAAUUGAAUCACUAAGAGAACACCGCCUACGAUCACUCAUACUCAAAGACGUUUACUGUAAUAGAACUGGCUCCUGAUAUGCCAACACAGGACCAGAAAGACCGGUUAUUUCUCCAACAACUUCUUCUUGGUUAUAUAUGUAACCCCUAUUCUUGAAAACAAGCCAUUCUUGCAGGGACAAGGACCGAUUAUUCCUAAAAAACCGCUCCGCAUCUAAGAUCACGAGAUGGCAUGAGCUUGUUCAGUGCCACAGCUCUAUUCUAUUUUCUUUAAGAAGUUCUUUCAGAGUCAGAGCCUUAUACUUACUUAUAAAAGGGCUUGCUUAUACUCACAAGAAUACACGGAAGAGAUAGACGCCUUCUCCACCCACAAUCACAAUUGGACUCAAAAGAUCUUUUCUCAUAAUAAAGGGAACAGAGGACUUAGGGGCGUGCCAAAUCCCUUCUCCUGUUGAGGUCGGCAAAAGAAGUCGAUUGCAAAGGAGUUAUUGUUUCCUCUGUGACAGCAGCAAGCAACGAAGCGGGAGUUAUUGACAGUUUGAAAAUGCCCUAUACAUGAAGCGCCGGAUCUCCUUUCUUCACAGGUCUUUCCAAGAGUCGAAGAUGGAUUCCAUUCUUUGUGGAAUGAGUGUAAUUGGAGAAGGCUUCUGAGCUGGAGGUCCUAAUUGACCGUCUAACCUUCCAUUCCAGUUGUCCCAGCCACGGAGUCGGAAUCACAUUACAUUAUGAGCUGGAUCCCAAAGGUGGUUUCUGAGAUAAUGCUAACCGAGGCUAUUGAGGCACGAUAUGAGGCACGAUAACAAACUGCCCGAGGCUAUUGAGGCACGAUCGAUAUGAGGCACGACAAUAAACUGCCCAUAUUACAUCGAAGCCAAAGGAUAAUGUUUCCUGAUGUGGUGGAAGAACACGUUAGUGAAUCGAUAGGGCGAGAUACGACAGGGCGCAGAGGCAAAAACGCCUUGGCAGCAGCGGAGAGUUGUAAAGAGGCGAUGGUUAAGAGGGUAGCGGCUGUAGAAGCAUAGGCAACCUAGAAGCAUAAGGUUUUUUUCUUGUGAAGUUAACAGUUCAGUUCAGUUUGUGCAUAUUCCAGAGCCGUUGUUACUCACUUUGCUUUGUUAUUUGUAACAGAGGCUAGAGAAAUAAGUUGUAACUGUCCGGGGCCUGUAUCGUAGCGAGCAGGCUACUUAAUCCGUAUUUGUUUUAGCUGGACAAACAAUGUUGUCUUUAUAUAAUUGUUGUUCUAUAUGUAGGUCCGUAUCAAGACCCGAAGAUUUGAGAAAUGCCUUUGCGGUGAUUAUUUAUCCCAUCCACAAUGGAAUCGGGGCCGACAGAUGCUGCAAGAGAGAUGCACCGCGCUACCCUUUAGCAUUUCCGCCCAUCAAUGGAAUCUGGGAUCGCCAGAAUUCGAGAGCUUAAUUAAGUAAGGAGUAAAGGAGGAAUAAUCCCUAUACUUACUGCAGCCUUAUGUCCUAUUCCCGAAAUUAUGUAUAGCGAGUACUUUGGGGCGAUUGAAUCGUUAUGUCCAAAAUGCUUUUACUAAGCUGAAGUAAAUGUAAUCCUCAUUUCAUACUUUGUGAAAAGAAAGCACAGGCAAAGGCUUGCGCAGGGGGUAUCCGCACUCCCCUGAUCUCUAAAGAUCGAUAGCUCUACUUCUUCUUACCUCCAUUUGAACUUCCUCUUUGAUCCCCAGCUAUGCUAUUCUAUCAUCUUAAGGUAUCGUCGAGUUAAAGUCUUAGAGGUUUAGCUCCCUAGUUAAGUGGUAUGGUUCGAUCUUUAGGGGCGAGAAGCUUCUCACAGAGAUAACUCGCAUAUGAAAGAAAGGAUGCUUCGCUUUUGCCCAUUGGAAGGCAGAAAAAGCAAAUGCAAACGGUACAGGAAAUGGGGCUAUUUUGAUCACUCGCGAGGCAUCUUCCAUUCAUUUCGACCGUCACCUAGACUUGUUGUUGCUCCAUAAUUACCACUAAACUUCUAUGCAUACGGAAGUAUUUAUAAGUUAGGUUUUUACGAUCUCAGGUUGUCCGCUCGACUGCUUUGAAAGAAAGGACAACUGUUGUGAUUCUACGGGUUAGAGCAUUACUAGUUGCUCUUAGUAGAUGGCCGGGCACUUCCAAACUACCUUGAUUGAUUCCUUAAUUAACGGCCUAUUUUUCACAUAACUCAGCCAAGCUAGUAAAUUGCGCCUAUAUAUUAAUCCACUCUGUCUCCUCGAAGCGAGAGUGAAAAAGUACGACUGUCUCUGUAAUCACUAUUAUUAGCACCCAUCUUUAAGCGUGGCCAACCAACCGUCAAGACUAACACAAGGGAAACUAGUAGAUAGACACUCCGAAGGUUCAUGUGAAGAGGUUCGUGGAAGAGAUCAUGGAGAGACCAUACCAUACAUAAGCGAGCUCGUUUUAAGAGCUCUUCUGAAAGUUGCGAGCCAGGGCCCAGCCCAAGACUAAGGGGGUGGGUGUAAGAGAAAGUGUACUUUAAUUGCAAGUUUGAUCAUGAAGAUCAUAUCUUAGCGAAUGCCCAUAUAAGUAUCCAGUAAGGAGAGGAGUAAGGAAGCAAAGCGGUGAGUAAAGGAGUCAGGAAGAUCUGAAUGGGUGCUCUCUGGUUACAAAAUGCUAUAUGAGGAACACACGCUAUCAACAAAGUGAGAAUGGAAAUGAAGUGGAAUCUAGCUUAGCAUUCAUUGGGUAAGUAUAGAACUGCGUAACCAAACACCUUAAGGGUAAGGCGGGAAAGGUGGACUCGGAAAAAGAAAAUCAUUGGCCAUGGUUGAAAGAGCUGAGCUCCCCGUGACGUGUUAGCGAGUUACCUGUAUGGCGUUAGAGAAGAGCUAUAUCCCGCCCUAUGUGUCAGAUUCAAGGAAACCCACCCUUGUAAUGGAUUCUGACCAGAACCCAACAAGUAACUACUAGACAAGCCGGCCAAGGUGUUAGUAGCAGUUGUUACUUAGUCCGACAAACAGACAAGUCACUUUUGAGUAUUUAUAACUACAUCCUGAGUUAAGAGUUUAGGUAUGAAGUCUAUACAUUGCUUGGCGGAGCAAGAGUCUAGUAUCUAAUUAGGUAACAGGAUAGGACCUUCGCUUUCAAGUAAGUAGCCUCGGUCAAGUUUCAAGUAUGUAGCCCUUGUUGUCGACAGCAAGCGGUGAUUCCAAACGGAAAGUCGCUAAGGCAUAGAGAGCAGUUUCUCGGCUUUCCCGAGUGGGUGGAGGUUGGGGAAGAAGAAAGUGUAUAUCCUAUAGAAGCAGGACUAUAAGCAAGAUCCGAAAGAGUUCAUUCCGUUUCUGUCGAGGUCCAGUCUAAAGUUGAGUUCAAGAUUCCAGUCAAGUUCGUUCCGUUGCGAGUGCUGCUUCUUCACUGCAUUGCUGACUUUCUUUAUAGAUUACUUUCUUUCGUAGAGACUUUAGACGACGAUACAUCUCGCGCAACUAAACGUCGUAAGGGGCGAGUUUGAAGUCAAGUUAGUUACUAACGAAAUAAGCUUAUGCCGUUGCUUGGGGGUAAGAAAUGAUGGAUGCUAUAGGAAUACCACUGUAAUAUACAACUAUAGGAAUACUAUUCUACAGGACGAGUCUCUCUUAACUUACCUUUAAUAUACAACUAUAGGAAUACUACAGAUAGUACGAAUCCAUUCUACACUGAUUGGGUACGAAUCAAUUCUAUAUAUGGUUAUGGUCUCUCCCUUAGCACUCGGCACUAGUGUAAUAAAUGUCAAAUCUAGUAUUAGUCUUCAUAUAACUUGCGAAAUUCAAAACCAAUUCAAUAAGGAUCCACACUGACCUGGGGAUUCGAUCUUGCUCCCUAUCACCUUUUUCACGGAAAAUAGAGAAUUCCGGAUCUGAUCCUAAUCCUAGUUCGGGACUGACGGGGCUCGAACCCGCAGCUUCCGCCUUGACAGGGCGGUGCUCUGACCAAUUGAACUACAAUCCCUGCGAGGUCACAACAAAGAUAGAAAUUUGCAAACUUUGGACUAUGUUAUCAGAAAUCGGUUAAAGGGCCCUCAUCACAUGGUUCAAUCUCAUCUAUGUCGAUGUCAGAUUGGUACGUGUAUAAAUGGAAUAUAUCUUGUUAUGGGUUUAGUCAAAGGAUACAAGCGGGGUUGGCACUGCAUUAUCUUUAUCAAAAUGCAAACACGAUAGAAAUUCGCCUUUUGCACUCACUUUUGGGGAGGUAAAUCCAAUUGAUUGCUCCUAAAUAAACCCUACUCAUCAUCCAUAUUCUUAUUCCUAAAGAAAAACCCCGCAUAUAUCUUCUUAUUCCUAAAGAAAAACCCCUACUCAUAUAUAUAUAUUGGAAUAUCAUUAGCAUACUAUGGUAUAUAUCAUGUACAUCUAUUAUGCAGUAGACUCAUUGAGUCGUAAGCAAAGGCAUAUAUGAAUCACAACAGCUGACAGAGACUUUACCUUAGUGGAAGCAGUUCCUUAAUUAUGGACCCGAACCUUUUCUUAUUUAUCUGAACCGCCUAUUCGUGGGACAGCGCUAACUUCCCUGGGAGAUACCAGCCCAACUAAGGAGCCCGCUCUCAAAUAUGAUCCAACUUCUUCCCUGCGAACAGGAAGUACCUUAUCCUUAAGUACCGCCCCGUGGGUCUAUAGUGCCCCAUGACGAAAGAAAAGAUUAUUAAGCGAAUCAGAAGAGAAGAGGAACAAUGAAAUGAUUCAGGGGGAAAGCAAAGUCAAGCACGAAAUUCUCUUAGAGGGGGAAGGCACCUAUGAAAUGCAGGGGGAAAACCAAGUCAAGCAGGAAAUUCUCUUAGUAGCGGAAACCAUCCAUUAUCCUUCGCUUCUUACGAACUUGAAGCAGAAAGAAAGCUCAAUUCACCAUUUUCUCCUUGUUGUUGUGAUGCAAAAAACGGACCCCUUUACUUUCCUCGGGGGCUACGACAAUUCCAUCGUGCUAUGAGCAUUCCGAAGAAGAACAAAUGGUAUGGAUUUGAUUCCACACAUCCUAUAUUUAUUUGAUAUCGGGGUGUGUUAGUGAGUAGCAGAGUGCCUAGCUGAGUUCAACAAGCUAGGUGGGGUUUGGGGCGAGUGAGUUUGCCGGCUUUCACCGACGCUUAUUAUCGUUUUUCAUCUGACUUGAUUAUAGCGUAUGUGCAUUCAUUAUAUUCCAUUCUUUUCCUUCGAUAACAAGUAACGGAAUAAGAUCUUAAGCCGGGUCUGGGUCUGCCAAUUCAGUUAAGGUCGACAAAAGGGAAGCUGGUAAGCUCGGUUAGUAUAUACUCAAUAAUGAAACAUCGGGAUACAAAGCACUCUAAGGACAGAGGCAGUCGAAUGCUUAACUAGACGACAAAGGUAUAGGCAUAGGUUCAACUUAGAGAUCAGAAGCAUCAGGAGUAGGAACUUUAUAAGAUGCCGGGUACAACGCAACAAAGCAAGUAGGGCUGGUCAAUGAUUCAUGGAGAAAGUGGUUGUUCAAUUCUUUGUUGAUCCACCAGUAGAUUAAUAGUCCGGAAAGUAAGCUCGAAAGAUUUCAUUCCACCCUUUUCCUUCUUUCGCUUCUUCACUCCAAAGCUCCGUAUUUGUUUGUUGCUUCAGCGUUAAGUAUUGCCUAUUGAGUUAGAAGAGAUCAAUUCCAUGGGUAAAGUUGAAAACGUAGAAAAGAAAGAAAUAAGUAAAUAAGCUAGUGCAAAGGCAGACAAGCGUAUACUAGGUCGGUGGAGCUCAAAGUAAGCCAGUUCUUGUUUGAGUUUCAUCCCCAGUAGCUGGAUAUCCGGUUGCAGAAUAGCCUGUUCCUGUUUCUGUUUAAGUAGAAGCAAGAGCAGAUGAGGAAACAAUGCAAGCGGUUCAAUUCCAAAUAGAUGCUGUCUCUUUAUUUCGAUACCACAUGUGUUCGAUAGAUUGGAUUCCUCUAUGCUAUGGCGCACUCUAAGGUUGCAAUGUUUGACUGUCCCUACAGCUAGGCUCAUGCUUUAUGGGGCAAGGCAAGAUGGAUUCCUGUUUGACUUUGUCCCAACUUUCUUUACAGCUAGGUUAAUACGAGAUAGAGAGUCAAGAAAUGAUUUUAUGCGCUAACGGUAAGGGACGGGAAGGGAACAAACACUGGGCAGGUAGCCGAACCUGCAAGGGAAAACAAGUAUCUGUCCUGAAGUAUAGUUCCGCGUCCUUUGUUCGACAGUCCAGGCCCAUACAAAGUAGCAUCAGGGAAAGUCGUUGAAGAAGCCUCAUCUCUUUCUUUUGUUUGCACACUCAGCGGUUAAGGCGCUUGUAAGGAAAUAUUCCAAGUAUAAGAGGUAAGCCGCAAGCUACGUAUUCAAGUGGAUAGUCAAGAGUUCGGAAGCUAUGCUGUGCUGUUUACUAUAUUCUCUAUUUUGUUGAUUGCGAUAGAGGUGAUUUGCUUGUUGGGUAUGUUCCUGAAGUGGAGUCUCUUUCUGCUAAAGAGGAUAAGUGUCAAAGUCUCUAUAAGCUUAAUUGCGGGAAGGUAAGUUUCAAGUUCCAUUCCUACAAUACGAUCUUUUAGACUCCAAUCUUUUCUUGUUUGACUUGACUCUGCCCUGCAGCUAGGUUAAUAUGAUGCAAGAGUUCUCAAAGAAAAGUAUAUGCGCUUCUAGCUCUUUUCGAAACUUCGCCCUCAGGAUCAUAAGUGGAAUAAUUCCAGUUCGAGAAGGUGAACUCGAUAUGUCUUUAUUUCAAUCUAUACUAGGUUCCGGUGCUUGCUCUCAAGAUGGAAAGAAAGUAUUAGUUGACUUGUGACUCACCGCUAUGCGAGAAUAAGUAUAGCUUUCUUAAAGCGCCUAGCCUCGCCCAACUUAAGAAACAAACUGGAAUCGAAUAUACCAACAAGUUCCUGCUCUAGGAUCAGACUCAGUACGGGGAAAGUCCACUCUUGAAUAAAAGUCGAAAGCCGAAACAAGAUCAGUAUCAGAGGCAACAGCUAUAUCCGGAGUCGGAACUUGAUCCAAAGUGGUAUCCGGAGUAGGAUCCAUAAGCUAGAUCAGGUAAGAAAGCGGAAGGUACAGUCUCAAGGGGAAAAGGGGUCAAGAUGAUAGGAUAGGCUCCAAAUGCAUUAUAAGGCCUGUUUCUUAGGCUACUGGCUUCAAUUCUUUGUUUCAAGGGGAAUUAUUCUACUUGGUGGAGACUGUGAAGUUACUAUUUAUAUGAAUUGUGAGUUAGAAGCCUUAGCGAGUGGCGCCUAUGAUAUUCGUUCUUAUCUGAAAGUCAGCAGUCAAGGGUUUGUUUGUUUUUACGACAUUCUCUAUUAGGAACGCAUUAUUCUAUACUUUAACAGUAGUGCGCUGGGCAAUAAUGUAGGUUGGUGCGGCGUAGUAAAGGGUAGUGCUUGACUUUCCUGAGUAUACGAGUGGUUUGGGUCGGUUCAGUAAGGAUGCACAGAUGCAAGAAAUAAGUGCUAACAGAGUAAGUAGAGCAGAGCUUCCAUUGGAGAUGCCACUGAUUCACUUACCGCAACACAAGCACCGCCAGCUCACUAGUACCGCCCUAUAAGAUAUUAAAAGGAAGGAAAUAAACUGGAUUGACUUUUCAUGGGGCUAAUCUUCUUUCUUUCUCUUUGUUGGUGUCUGUCCAACUGGUUCUAGAGGCCGAGCGAGGGGUAGGAUCUGAUCCUUAUUUUCGUUAGUAGUGAUGAGACAACCAAAAGCAAAAGAAGAGGUUAGAGACGGCUCAAUUAAGAUAACACAUCUUUGCUCGAACUCAACAUGCCCCGAGAGUGAGUCUUAGCACAAGUCAAGUCAGCGAGUUGUUGUUGCGGAGUGCGCCUAUGAUAUGAGUGACUAGAGCUCGGAAUGAGGUUACUAUUGCAUAAGUAUAUUAAUAUGGCUUACUCCAGAAAUUCGAUUCUUUAUUCAAUCCAUUCUAUUCUUUAGAGUCAGCAGUAAGGAGUGUUGUUGCUGGGCUUCCACAGUAAGAGGAGUGUUGUUGCUGGGCUUAUACAGUCAGGAGUCUUGUUGCUGGGCUUAUCUAUUUGAUUUGUAACGCUCAUUUCUAUUCCUUAGAGUUUUAGGGCAGGGGUAAAGACACUUUAUUAUCUCAGAUGCUUGGUAGAUUCCAUGAGUGGUUGACUUCUCACUGAAAAAGCAACGAACAAGCAACCUAACUGAGUUAGCUCCGUUAGCGCAAACAAGCAACCGUAACCACUACGCCUAUUGCUCAAAGUAUCGUCUAAAGUUGAGUAGCCAGUUGCAAGAGAAGUAAUAAGUCUCGUAGAUAGUCUUGUUUUUGAAACCCGGUAAGGAAGUAAAGUCAGGAAGUCAAAGGGAAAAGAUGCAACUGAAUAAGCCUGAGUUCCUGAAUAAGACUUAGUUACUGAAUAAGACUUAGUUCUACAAGGAAGCAAAGCAGUAACGCUAUCAACAAAACAAAAGGCUUUCAAAGUAAACAGCAAGUCGGAGAGUGAAGUUAUGCCCUUUAUGCAAGAUAGAUGAAAUUCCGGAAAGUAAGGAGAGCAAGUAACGGAACAGCGCAAACAAGUGUACGAUCAAAAACAAGUUAGCUAAGAGGUUGUCCUGUAGAGUAGGUUUGAACAAGAUAUGAAACUAGCUUUAGGCAAGAAGUAGCAGCCGUUGGGCCUUAGCUUCCAGACUAUGAGUUUGGGGGGUGCUAAUGUGAGUUUAAGAGUGAAGUAAGCAGUGAGGAGUGAUAGUACCCUAUACUAUAAUCCAAUAAGGAACAAAGGAAUAAAUAAGGAAUAAAGGAAGAGUGGAUAACAAGCAACGUAUAAACUACUAACCAAGCUACGUUGUAAGGCCAAGUAACGGUUGUUUGAUUUGAAGCUGCUAAUCGUUUGCUAGUUGGGUCAGAAGGACGGACAUAAACUUGGACCACAACGCGCCUCAGAAGGACAGAAAGAAUAGGAACAAUCGAAUAGCACUGCUUCAGAAAGACAGAAAGAAAGAGUACAAUGGCGCUUCAGAAAGCUUAUAUUCUCUUAAAGACGACGCAACAGAACAAGUCGUAAUACGCUUAGAGCUGCAAGUAAGUAAGGAGUAAGCUUUCGUUUUUGACUCAAUUAGAUCAUAUCAUAUGCUACUUAAUAGGAUUCUCAAUUCCAUGUCUUAUACUGCGGAUUCUUUGGCUUAAGCAUUUGAUCCCAAUCUACCUUCUGUCUGAGAGCACUUCAGAUCCUUCUCUUUCCCCUGCUGAUGCUUCCUCUCCUGCUGAAGCUCUUGUCGAACUAUACUUUUCCUUUGACUUCGAGCAGUAGGGCUAGUUCCGUCUAGAAUCUCCGUUCUAGUUUCAUCUUAUAAAGAAGAAGACUGAAUGUACCCUUGAUAAUGCCCACGUAGCUUGGCGCAAGUAAGAGUCUCAAGUUUCAAGUCAGGUUGAAAGAAUGGAAGCAACGGAACAGAUCUUGUCGUUUAGGCUUUCAUACCAGGUAAAGAGGUAUAUUAUCAAUUCUUAUAUUAAUGCGCUAGAUACUAGAUCGUACCCCCGACUUAUUCCAUGAUUCUAGUUGGCUGCUCCCUCCUCUUUAUUCAACUCCAGCUUCGUAAGCUUCUGACUUUCAAACAGAAACUCUUCAACAGCAUUCAAGAGCAGAAGUAGACUUAUAGGUUGGUUGGCGAGAGGGCAAAUACUGGUGAACUUAGGAACAAAUACAGGACUUGUUUAUUGCCUUUAAAAGUGACUAAAAACGGAGUAGUUGAAUUCCGUAUUUCUGGGUUAAAGCUCCAUUCUGCAAUUCUGACUUUAGGGAUUCUAUCUUCAUAGUAUAAGUGUUCAAUUCCGACUUUCUUUAUAGGUGACUUCUCAUAAGAGCAAACAGCCAACCAACUACUAGAGCCAGAAGUGGAUCAGUGCCUUCCCGUUUGUUUGCUGCUAACUUGUUCACCGACACGAUGACCUCUCUGUCCGCGUUACAAUUCUCACUUGACUACUGAAGAUAAAGAGUACUUAUUCCCUAAUGCACUAGAUCAUACCUUAGGAUCAGAAUCUAGUAUAAUGGACUUGGUUUGGCUAGACAUAGUGAAUGUUUGGGUUGGUCACUUCUAUCUAUUAAACCGAGCGGGGAACUCACAUAAUUCAGUUUCUUCCUUACCCGAUCCCGCAGAUGAUCUUGAAACAGAGUAUGGGCCAGGAUACUUAAUGAAGGCUGAAGUCAAACAAUCAUUUCUUCUCUCUCUUGCUAAGAGGACCGAGUCAAACGGACAAGCUGCGGUGCUUCAGAUCCUUCUCUUGAAACUGUUCCUGCCUAUUCUGGAUACUCAGAUCCUAAUUUCCGGUAGGGAUUCUGAUUCUCUACUUUCUGAACACUUCGCACCCCAAAUACAGGUUCACACAGGACUUGAAAUAAGUAGGUUAGUGACCCUAAUAUACAGCUCUUUCAACUGACACUCAAUUCUUAGUGUUUGUAUGCGCAUAGGAGUUUCUCAAGUUUGAAGUCACUCACGACUACAGUGACACUUGUCGGCUUGGCCGGUUAGAGUUUCAUCCUUAUUUGUUGGUUACUAAGAUACAUAAGUAGUGCAAAGCUUCAAGUAAGGGCAGAGGUUGGCACAGAGAUCAUAUACUGGAUCAGACAGGUAUCGGAGUCGUGGUCAAGCAAAGACAUGCAAGUUAUAGGUUCAAUUCCAAUUCAUUCUUAUCUUUAUAGCAGAAGCGGAUAAACAGGCGAUGACCACUCGUCGGGCAGUAACGAAUUGAACGUUUUCUACCUUCAUUCUUAUCCAGAAGUAGAGAGUUCGGUUCGGGGAAGACACUUAUUAUGGGUGUCGGGUUGACGUGUAGCUCUGUCUCCCCGUGUUAGAUGCCUUUCUACAUCACCUAGUCCGAAUACGCUCCAUUGUAGGUGUGUCGGAGACUAUAAAAAGAGAAGAAAUAAGAUAAGAGAAUAUCUAAGAAAACGAGAAAUAAGAUAAGAUAAUAUCUAAGAAAACACCAGAUGUAUCGCUAGAGAACUCUUAUAAGAGAAUAACUGAGUGAACGGGAGUGAGUGGAGUUCCAUAAGCCUAAGAUGGAUCAUCCGCUGUGCGAGUGGACCUGACCGCUAUGGAUUCAAUGAAUUCUUUAGACAGUUGAGAGUUUCCGGGAAGGGAAAUCAUUUAGUACUAGCUCUUAAGCGCGGUAUGCUCUUUCUAGCGUAGCCCGGUAUCCUCUUUCUUUCUAGCUUCCGUUUUUUGUCUAGGUUCCUUAACCGAAGAUAAGAGCAUAAGCUAUAGGGCGAGUGGAGUCUCCCAGAUCAGACUAAGUUUCAAGAUAUUCAUCAGCAGUGCCAGUUAAGUCGAUGAGAUGAGAUCAGUAGAUGAAACAUCAGAAUUAGCGGGAGAGCCAGAGGGGCUAAAACAAGUGAACUCGGGAAUAAAAUGCUGGACUUUCCGUUCAGAAAUAAGAAUUAGUUGACAGAGCCCAGAGGUAUAGACUUGCUCCAUUGGAAUCUGUAUUAGUUUACAGAAAAGAAGAGGGAUAGAUCUGAUACUGAUCUCUUGGCCCCUAUUCUUAUACAAUACCAGAGUUAGGUUAGUAUUGACUGGCAAGAAGAGAGGAAAAUGUUGGAUAAGCAGGAAACAGUCGAGAGGAUUAGGAAAGCUAUGGAAUGUACUACUAGCUUAGUCGCAAGGGAAAAACACGGAGAACACGGGCAUCAUUUCCAUAGAUUCCACAUAAGAUUUGUUUACCCAGGAAUUGUAAUAACAAUCAAGAACAUUUGAGCGCCUGACGCCGAAAGCUGGAGUUUAGACUAGACAAGUAGACAAGUAGAAAUGGAUUUUCGCUAAAGAAGUAACCAAGGAAAAGAGGUGGGUGAGGAGUUGCUCUUCGCCCAAGGUGUCAACGAUAAUCUCAGAGACCAUACUCGUAUUCUGUAUCACCGCGCUGAAGAUGAAACACUCCAUUCAACAGAGAAAUAUGAGAAGUUGCACCCAACACAAUCACCUCCAUCUCUGGUAAACUUUCCUAGCCCAGUGGAUUCUGUUGAAACCGAAUCUUCCCAUGCUUCUGUACGAGACUCAACUUGCUACCUUACCCCCUACUGCAGAUUCUCUAAUUACCGAGAUAUCUAUACUAAACUCCCGUUAGCACCGAGGAAACUCUAUUCUUAAGGGAAGGGGAAAGGAGGUAAACUCUACCACUUAUUGCUCGAACUGCGGAUUCCGUCUAAGAACUCAGAGGCGCCGUGUAUUAACCCGCUCGCAACAUUAUUGAUCAUUAGUAGUAGCUCGGUGGACUCGCUGCUAACUCUAACUAACACCGAGCAGAAGCAGAAUCAACCUAGGUAGUUCAAGUCUAAGAGUCGAGGUAGCUAUUCUCAGCACCUCUAUUUAGUAGUAAAGAAUUCCACUCAUAUUACCAAUUCUUCCAUAUGACCCCCAUCUUCCGCAUCUAGUCUAAGCUUGGCCCUUUCUUUAGCCUGGAAAUAAGCUACUUGACCGAACGUGAAGGAGACGAAAGAGAAGCUAAAGCGAGUUUAUGAAAGAGAGGAUGCUUCUUCAUAAACGGAAUCAACAGAAGAAGAAACGGAAUAAGCUGCCGUCCUUGCGAAGAAACGGAAUAAGCUGCCGUCCUUGCCUCGGUUUAAACUAGAUCUACUGCUGAAACGAGCUCUCCUUCUGAUGGUGGUGGAUCAAUAACUGCGCCGUUUCUUGUAGUUACGUCAGUUCCGACUUGAUAGCAAGAUACAGAUUCAAAGUAGACUAGAUCAGAUGCAAACUUAGCUGCUCCCUACACAGUGACGUCAAGGAGAACCCACUCAACAGCAGCAUAGCUUACUUAUUCCUUACCCACUCACGUCAAUCCCACGAGCCUCUGAUCCAUUCUCAUUGCUGGGUGGAAAGUCUCAAUCUACAAAAUGAGGAUGUGGUCGAGUUCUCAGCCUUUCUACUGAUUGAAUAGCUUAUGAUCUCGAGUCCUUUCUUGGAAAGAGGAAAUCUUACUAGUGUUGGGAUUCUGGUUUUGCCUGAUACUUAGAGGGCUGAAAGAGCGUCUCACCUUGACAUCGGGAUAUGUUAGAACUUUGUCCUUCCUACGCUACGAAAUUGACUGGCUUUCCUUUCGACGGAUAGGUUCCAUUCACUCCCAAGAUCCAACUGGUCCAUUCAUGCUACUUUACAGUACUCAAACAGGCCACACUGAUCUUAUUGCCAAGAUUUGGGAUAUUUCCUUAGAAUGAAUGUGCAGCUACUUAUACAGUAAGUAACAGCUGAGUAAUGAGUCAUUGCCGGAUAGGUGGCAUUUCCCUUCCACCCUCCCAUUCCGAUGAUCAUGAGUCCUAUCAGACAUGGAACUUUCUAUCGGUCGAGCUAGGCUUCACUUCCUAUCACCUUGAGUGUAAGGAGAGCUACGGAAGCAAAAGACCCGUUUUUCGUUCGCGGGUGGGGAGUUUUUCUUGGAUCAUGGGGAGAUAAUAGGUAAUAAGUCUUAUCUGUCAUCGUCCCUGGAACAUAGGCCGGUCUUCGGACAGAUCACGAAGAGUUCGGCGGGACCACUCGACUCGACGGCUAUCGGAAAAGCAGGGGUCAAAACACAGAUGUAAUCUAAUCUUUCCAUAGGUAGGACGUCGGGAUAAGAAUAACCUUAUAAGCUCGUGUACUUUGGCUCUCACUGAAAGUGUUUAUUGGGGUGGACUGGACCUUAGGGCUGCUGUCUCUCAUGCCACUGCAGAAUGGUUUUUCAAAGCCUUCUUUCGGAUCCAAUCCAUUCUCAGUAGGCUCCAAAUGGAUUCGUCAACAGUCAUACUUUUUCCUCUGUAUCAUAGAUGAGUAAGGCUUGCUCAAGCAACAAAACAAAGAGUAAGCACCUGAAUCAAAAGGAUUAACUAAUUCUGGAGCAAUACUGGUCUAACCAUUAAUACGUUUUGCUUGGCCCUGCCUCUUUCGACUCCCACGCUUCCGAUGUUGAAAUGUAACGGGCUUUGCUUUGACCAUGUAUACCGAAGAAUCUCCGCACAUAUGGCUAGAUUCCCCAUAUAUAGGUCAGAAUGGGAUCGGGUGUUUUCCCGUCACGUCUCACCUAUGUGCCCGGUUUUUCUUGAUUCCCGAUUGCGAGUUCACUUUUGGAAUUACAGAAUUGAUUCAACUGUUUCGAGCGCUGAAGAUCUUCUUGUUUGUUCCCCGAGAGUCUGAUAUGAGUAAGCAGUUCGCCCAGCUCUUCAAGUUCUGGAAUCCCGAGUUCCACUUUCGAAUGGAUUUGAAUAUAGCAUAGUGCAUAGAAAAGGGUAUUAUUACAAGUCAGGAGUUUCGUUUAGUAUAUAAGAGGUUUGUUUGGGUAAUAUUACAAAACAUUCUCUUAUAAUUGGUGCAUAAGAGAUGGAUUCUUGUGUUGCCAGAAGGAUCAGAAGCCAGAGAAUAGACCGUUCGACACUUUACUUUACAAAGUCACCUCUAUCCAGGUGUUCGAGAGAUUCAAUUAAUUGGGCUGGAUUACUUCAAGGCGUGAGUGUAGAGUUUUGAAACCCCAAGCGCCCCAACCCAAGAUAAUCCGCAGUGUUUACCAACUAAACGGUGAAAGAAAUAGGCGGACGCUCCUUGUUACGAGAUAGGUAAAUAGUGUUGGUAUCAGUAAGUUAAUCUCUUCUCUCUGACGAAAUGACAUGAGAAAAGGCCCGGCCCGCUCUCUCAAGCAGAACAGGUGUUCCGAGUAAAGAAAGAAGGACUUCAUGGGGUGUCGCGUACUAGCAGCUACUUGUUUACUACUUGUUGUCCUCCAGCUACUUGUUGUCCUCCAACUACUUGUUUCAUUCCAGAAAUCAGUGUAAUAGUACACGUGAAGUAAAGUAAAUAGCUUAGCUUGCUUUUCAUUAAAGAAGGAAGUCGCAUAUAAUUACACGUAAAUAACCAUAAGUCAAUAACCUGCUUUGCUUGCUUGCGUUUCAAGACUAACUAGCGCACCUCGCAACAAUGAAUAUAGGCACGAAACUCGAAUAAGCUAUUGUGCGACGGCUUGCAUCCCUAUUGCUUCAAAACAAUCUCUUUACUCCCUCCACUUGUUGAACUCAGGAAAGAGGAAAGGAAAGGUGCUGGCUAAACUCUAACCAGGUAAGAAGUAUGGUUCGAGUUCAAGUUCUUGUGUCUAAGGACGAGCGGUUUUUGAAGUUGGCAAUCAGUCUUCUCCUAAGGAUCAAUUUCAUUUAAGCCGAGAUGAAGCAGUGCUGUCAUUGUAGAUGGAAGCCCACGGAGCAGUUAAGUCUCCUGGAAAGGAUUCUCAAUCAGACUCAAAACUCAGAAUCUGGGGUGUAGCGGAAGAAUCUCCAAGAGUAUAAAGCUGAUGGUACAGAUAAAGAAGCGGAAUAUAGAUCCUGAUCUCAAGCCGUAUAAGGGUAAGAGGUCAGCUCUUCUUUUCUUACCUUAACACAAUCAUCUCUUUCACCCGACUAUCAUUUAGGAAUUGACACUCGAACGUAACAACUUGCAAAACCUUUUGCUUACUGACUUUAUACUUUACCGGGAUACCACAUAGCUUCCCUGAAUACUUGACUAGUGGAACCAAAAUAUGUUGUUUCACCCUCGCCCCCGGCUUAAGAUCCAGUUUAUUAAGCAUCUUUUACUUAUCCCGCUCCUUCUUGAGCAUCUGAUCUCUACGUUAAGUCCAUUAGUGAGCUGCUCAUUUCCUACCAUAUAUAGCAUGCAGUUCCAUUUCCAUUAAGAAUUCCGGGUUGGUUUACAGAGGAUCAACUGUCUUUACAGCUAGGUUAAGGUGAGAUAUGUAGACUCAGCAAUCUUAAAGACUCCAAGAUUUGCCUGUUCUUCACUAAGGCUUACUCUUGUCUCGGGGCGCUAACGGAGCUCACCCUUAAGAUACGAGUAUUCUUGACUUAUGGCUUCAAAAACCAGUAAUUUCUUUGAAUCUUAUGCUUUAGCGCAAGAAAGAUUCGAAAUGCAUUCUGAAGACUUAGCGUUAAGUAUUGCCAGGGCCAACAUCAUCGUGAAGUUCGAGUGGAUGGAGUGAAAGGCUUUUUCCCGAGUUAUAUAGGUUCAAAGAAUGGAGUUCCGCUCGCUAAUGCUUACUGUUUUUGGCAAUCUGAUCUUCUAGACGAAAAGUGAAAGAUUUUCCUGUGAUAUUCUGACUUUAUAUGAGGAUGCUUGAAAUAGAGAUGAAAUUAUGGCUUAUGCUUCUUGCACCGUUGCUGGAACUCGUACACUUGUGGAUUGAUUUGAACUCACGUAAGCUAGGAACUAAAACGAUCAUAGGCGCACCCCUACCCUAUCCGUAACCUUUUAUUCCAUAUUACUCUCUAUAAGUGCUCUGCUCCACCGAACCUCACUGCUAAACUAUGACUCUAUUCUAUUACUGUUUACUACUGGAAAAAACUCACUAUCCAGUCUCGCUUAACUCCACUUAUCUAGCUUCGGAUCUCGUAAACAACACUGGAACUGCUUAUAACGAGUUAUGGCGUUCUUUCGUUGGUAACACUUAAGAAACCGCUCCUUCUAUCGUAGGUGACGUUACACUACUUUGCUUCCUUCCUUUAAGAAAAAGGCUUCUUCGGAAUCUGUUUCGUUUAUCGGGUCCUCUCCCCAGCUUACAGGAAUGAACUUCUCUGAUGGAAAACGGUAGCACUUGGGCUUGUGCCUUGCUUUAAUAGGGGAGGGUCGUUUUGCUAUCAAAGUCACUUCCUACUGGAUGGGGCCUAGCGCUUUCUGAAUAGAGAAUGAAUAAGCUCUGAAAUAGUAUAGAAACACUUUGUAAACUAACACCGAAACUAGUGCACCCGCAACAACAAGAAAACGUAAAAGUGAAGUAAGCUAUCGCGCAAAUGAAUUAAGCUUGUUUCUUUCGACAACUACCCUUUCAGACCCGCUUUUGAUGCUUGGAUUGGACCACUUAGCGCGCGAGUACUAUCUAUCUUCACACCCGAACUAUACUUUUAGACGAAAACUGGCUCGUUGACACCUUGGGCUAAGGUAAACUAAGAAAUAGCUAUCUCUCUCUGUGGUUACCAACUCUAGGAUAGGAAUGAAGCGACUAAUGCUAAUAGGCCCCCCAGACUCUGAAUGUCAAGUAAGAAUUCCAUCCAGGGUAGUAAGUAGUAAUUCCCGACUGUAGCUUCUCAUAGGCUAAGUAAGCAUCUAGUUUGCAAGUAAGAAGGCAAGAAAAGAGUCUAGGACAAAACCUCAAAAGUCAGAAGAAAGCCCUACUCCGAAAGUCAAGGAUGAUACCCGGGCAUAAAGGAAUCGCGCUAUUGGUGCUAUUGGAAUCCACUAUACCUUAUCGGAAUAUACCCCUAGGGCGACUAACAAGACGCAAGUGUCAAUUUCGAAUCAUUACCGUUAGUGGAAGAAUUUAGAACUCCCGUGCUAACCACUAAACAAGCAUAUCACUCCGGCCAGAGUAGGAACUACAGCAGAAUCCUAUAUUCGCCAACUAGAAGAUUGAAGCACAGAAGUCAGAAAUCAACUCAUAGGUCCAAUAGAGCAGAACCCAACUCGAAAUACAGAAGUCAACUUACUUGUUUGAGUCACCAAGCAACGUAGUCAGACCAAGCCACUACUAAUGUGGCGACCAAGCAACUAAGCGCCAAGGAACGGAUAGACAAGCAACAGCCUGUAAUGCCUAAGCACCAGUCUUAGUAGCACCGGUUUGGUUCUGAGCAGUACUGGGUUAAGACCUUAACUCCCCAGUUCCUGCCGGGCCGGGCAUCUGAUCUUAUAGAUUCCCCACUAAUAUACUUCUUUCUACUUUUGAUUCAUAUACUUACUUUUGAAAUUCUGUUACUACUCAGAAGUUGGAGUGAAGUAUCCGAUCUUUGCACAGAAACACUAGCACCCGACCCCACAUCUUUUGUUUUAUUGAUUGAAGACCCGAAAACAGACUAGUUUAUUGCUUAGCGCCCUAGCUCUCCUAUUGCUACUAUACCUUUCCAUUUAAACUAAAGACUUAUGUGCGAGCGAGUCAAGGAGGAAAUUCAAACAAACAUAAACUCUCAACUAAUAAUUUCAGAAUAGGGUCAAAAGAAUGUCAUUAAAGAAUGGAAUUGAGGAAUGGGGAGUGGGGAGUUUAGGGUUUAGAGUUUAGAGUCAAAUUCUCACUUUUGUGUUUCAUUCAACAAGCAAGGCGGCCAAGGAAAAGGCUAAAGGAGCGGUUCCAACCAGUAGAGUAGUCCUGGAGAAAAGAAUCCUAUUUAAUAGUAUAUGUUAUUUCGAGUACCUAAUUUCAUAAGAGAUCUCCAAUUACCAACUCAAUCUAUACUAAACUCCCGUAUAUGAGCAAUUCCCAUUGAGUAAAGUAUUCGUAUUUGGGUGGGUGUGAAGUGCCCAUAGUAUAUGAUAUCACUGCGGAAGCAUUAAUGGAGUGUGCAAAAUCUCGUUACAAAAACAAACCCGUACUUACUGUGAAUAUAGGCCUCGCAGAAGUGUACCGUACCGAAGAAAGGGAAAGGAAUUCUAAGAGGCGCGCACUAGUACAUAAGGAUUUUCGUCUAAAUAGAAGUUCUUAUUUGAAACUCCUUGAAAGAAGCUCCCAUAAGCCAAGCCAUUGAUUCAUUGCAUUUUGGGUUUGAUCGGUAUUAGAUCGUUGUUACGCCUUUCGAUAGGGAACACAAACGGAACUUACCCGACGACAAGUCAUUUAGAACCAACCGGAGCGCACACUUGGUUAAUUGUACUCUUACCUUGUCCUAGGAGCGCCCUUGUCAGAUACUAUCCUUUCGCAGCCAGCCUGCCGGGCAGUUCUUGCUUCUUAUUCCAUUCUGCUUUGGAUGCUUCUCCCGUGUUUUCUUCAUAUUCUCAUGAUGCUUCGUAUAUAUAUGAUAUGAAUAUUCUCAUGAUGCUUCGUCAUGCCUUGCCAACAUUGACUUGGCAACCUACACUGGACCAACCACUUGAACAGGUAGUACAGCAACGGGGACUUGGCCAAACGAUUGGAACCGGCUCGGCUCCAACAGCAGCGAAAACCAAUGGAUAGGCGUAAGAGUGGAGGGCAGAGAGUCGUGGAAUUCCAGCACGAAAACAAGUCUCAAAUCUAGGUCUCCCAUUCGUCCCCUGAAAACCGAGUCUAAGAGGAUUCAAUCCUAUGAUCUUGGCUCGAGCCUUUCCGCUCCUGUUCAUUCAUCGUGGGACCUACUGAACCUCGUAAACUCCUGAAAGCGGCUUUCCGCUCCUGGCCCUAUCGGUCAACCGGCUUUCUAGCGGCUAUAUUCUAAGGACAGCCCUUUCCCUAAGACAUGUGAUGGCAUUCCACUAUCUUCACGUCUAUAAAGAAAGAAAGGCUUUGAUCUCUCUCUUUAUAUCUUUACUUUGAUCCCUUCCUCUCUCUUUCCAUCUUGACUUUUCUCCCUUCUUCUCUCUUUCUAUCUUGAUUUUGAUCCCUUCCUCUCUCUUUCCAUCUUGACUUUUCUCCCUUCUCCAUGAGAUAAGGUGGGAAAGAAGACAUGCUGCUAGGAACGGAUCUUAGUAAUGGCUUGCUUUCUUCUGUUUGAUGUAAUCUCGGGUCGGUUUCGAGGAGAGAAAGAAGACAUAAUCUCAGGAGAUCACUCAUCUCGGGACUAAGAAUCUAUCAAUCUAUUCGACUGUGGCUUUUAUGCCGGACUCCUCAUUCCCUUAAUGAGGAGAGGGACUCUUCUAUGAAGGCUCGAGAGACCUCUUCUUCCGCUCUGGCCCUCUUCCCAACCUAAAUUAAGCCUUAGGUGUCAAUCAGUCCUUGGCUGCAGGUUUAUGGAAUAUGUGUGUCCGGUUCAUAAGGGAAGGGGAGAAAGAAUAGGAAGGACUGUGCUUGCUGAAUUCGAAUCUCAACCCUAAUCAAUAAACAGCUUCCAAGGCUGUUCCCGCUAGUGCUACUGUCCUGGGACUUUAUCGCUCUGGUUUCAUGUCCCCCAUUCCAUGCUUUCCGUUUGGUUGUUGAAGAAAGUUCAAGUAAUCCUUUGCUUUGUCGGAGUAGAGCCCAUUGAUAGAUUAAUAUAAGGUUCUAAAAACUACGGAAAUGUUAUCCUGUGCUUUCCUUUUUGGCUUUAGGCUCCAGUUAUCCCGUACUCAAUUCCUUUAAUGAAGGUCGGGACUCUUCACUCUUUUUCUCCCGUUCCAUCUCCUCGUCGAAAGGACUAUUUGCUUUCUGUUUGCUUUGGCUGGAUAUGUCCUUUCAAGGGCGCAAGCUUGACUUGGCUUGGCUAGACCAACAGGGAAAAGGCCACCGCUCUCAUCAAUCCCAUUAGUAAGGGCUUCAAUGAAGUCCUUGGUUCGGAAAGACCGGAACCGCAGAAAGGAACUGCUUUUUCUAGAGAUCGGCAAAGCACGGAUAAAAGAGCUUCCAGGACUUUCUAAAGGCCCUCUCUCUGUGGGGUGAUAAAGACAUAAGUGACUUCCGGUGAGCAGGCGCGGAGUCUUUCUUAAGUGAUUUCAAUAGACUUCUAUGUCUUGCCCGAUUCCUUUAUUCUUCCAUCCAGGAAAUUUGCUCCUUAAUAAAGAAAGACCAAACCCAGGGCUCGGCUCUUCCCCUCCUCUUAAGUAGCUGAAGCAGGAAGGAAUAUAGCAUAAUUUAGCCAAAACAACCAAGAUGAUGAAAGACUCACACAAUAAAGACAAUUCCAUUCAAAGUGCCCACGGUCGCUACGGGAUUGGUAUAGGCUCGAACGACCGGAAAUUGAGGGUAAGGGGUUGUUUUUUUCAGGGUACGAGUACGGGUACGAGGGUUGGCUCACUCUCAAUCCCCCAAAGAAAGACGGGACUUCAACUUCACAGAUAGCCUUUUCCUGUAAACUGAGAAUCUUGAACCAGGUACUUGCUUUGACCUAGGCUCCAGCAACGAUGCUUUAGGUGUGGGGGUGAACCGAUCCAGUUUUCUCUUUGAGCCGGUGGAAGUUAUCGCUCCUUCACCUCGUCAACUCAAAGGAAAAUCUCCCCAGUGGAUGGAAAAUGAAUACAAAGUUCAAUCUUAGUCAAAACUUGUAUAAUGAGUAGUGGUGUAAGGCUAAGUGAAAUAAGAUAUACAAAGGAAAUCAAUCCAGUAAACCAGAAUAAGUUCUUUGUUUCAUAGUUGUUGUUUGUUUGCCCUUCCCGACGAAGAUCCAGUGGAAGUGGGUAGUUUCAUUCUAUCAGUGUUGGAUUCCUUCUUUGUGUUGAAGGCUCAAUAAGUUAUAGCAAGCAAGCAAGGGCAAGGUAAGACUUAACUCUUUUUCUAUUUCCCGCUCCUAACAAGGGGCGUAGCGAGAAGACAGGAAGAAAGGACAAAUAUAGUUCUUUCGAUUCCCCCCGAUUCUUUGGAAAGUAAUAGCUUUGAACUCCUAUUUCCUAGGACUGAAAGCUGAGGAAAGAGCAUUCGCUGGAGACUGUGAGCGUGCCUUGGAGCCGUCUAACUCUCGGGGGUGCCUAUGAAGCCUAGGGAGGCUGGGAAGCUUUAGCUUCUAGGACGAAGCCGAGCCACUAGUGGAGUGGCGAAGGAGGCCCACUAUACGUAUACUGGAUUAGUCACCGGUGAAAUACCAACAAUCAACCAAUUCCUUAGAACUAUUGAAGCUAGAAGUGUGAUUGAUCAGACAAGUAUAAAGGGCUUUCGGUAUACUUCUUUCAUUUCCGAAUUAGCUUGCUACAAGUCCUAGCAUUAGUAUGACCGCGUAAGGGAAAUCCAUCUUGAUGACGAAUUCGAACAAUAAAUAGAAAUGAAUCGUUCGAUGUCUGCUCGUGCUUCCGCCGAGAAUUGGGAGAAAGUGCUUUCUUUUCUUGACUUGCUCAUAACUCACUACCGCAUGAGCUGAUCCAUUUUAUUGUCGGCGUCCAUUAGGUCAUUCAUAAGACUUUGGAUGGCUACACGGGGAUGUGGUGUAACGUUGAGGUCGAGGUCUUUUUCUUCUUUUCUAGAGGAUGGCCCCGCAUUGCAAUUAGCUUCUCCUUUAGGGCGAACCCCAAUACAGGAUUCCUGUGCGCCUACGCUAGCGUCGGUUUCCUGUUCCGAACCGCUGUCAUUCCCGUCACAAAUAACAAUCACUAUCAGUAGAAUUCCCAGUUGGAGGAAGACCACAGAAAGAAAAAGCCUUACUAAAUAGCGAAAUAGAUCCAUAUUACAAUGACUUAUAUAAUGACUCCAUGUAAGACAAGAUGAACCAGAUGAAAUUUUCCAUGAUAUCACGGAAAUCGGAUUUCCUUUUCGUGCCAUAUGCGCUUAGACUUUCCCUUUUUCACCCCUUUUGAUUCCCGGUUCAAUAUGAGUUCUCGAAAGUAUUCGUUUCCAUGUAAAAGAAAACUAUCCCAAUUGUUGACCAAGCAAGGUCACUGAAACAAUUACUAAACACUUACUAAAACGCGAUAGUGUCCAAUGAAGACCAACCCGUAAGCUCCCCCUACUUUACUUACAAGGCUUUCAGCACCUUACUUUACAGGCAUUUACCUCCUUACUUUACAGCUUGUCCAACUACAUUUCUUGCUCCAAAUCAAAGAAAGACAAAACAACACCUAAAUAUUCGACCUGAAGAGGAGACCACUAACCAAUCUCUGUUCAUUUAUUUAUUUCUAUCAAAAGCUUUCUUUUCUGAAUAUAUUUCUAGUUAUAUGAACAGAUCACUCCUAAAUUCAAUAAAGACUGUCUUUUGACGAAUGGGAUGUGGGAAUUUUCUAUGAUAGAGAUCGGUAUUAUCUAUUAGGUUGCCGUAUGCUACUUCCUUACAAUUCUUCGCAUCGAGCAAAGAGAAAGAGAAUGUGAACAGUUAUAAACUCAACUAAGCAAGGGCACACGCUUUCUUUCGAGUCUCGCCCUCAGUCUCUUGGCACCCUAAAGCAAUGGAAUCCAAAGGUUGUAAGGUACUACUCUGUCUCGUCGGUCAUCCCCUGAUGAUUCGGCCCUCUUGCACAAACCCGGCUGUUCUCGUGGUGCUAACCCGUUGGCUUUGGGGGGAGGAGAACUCCGUGCGGGCAAUCUCCGGCACCCUUUGGGAUAACUAGAGUACAGAAGCCAGUAUAAAAGCUAGCAAGUUUACGCUCAUAGAGAUAGAGGAGAGAAAGUCAAAAACACGACAGAUAGAAAGAGUCAGAGCGAGAGCUAAAUCAUAGAUAGAGAAGCCCUUUCAAGGAAUCCGGAGAUCCUAUUCAUAAGAGCGGAGCCACUUUACCAGAGAGAUAGACGAUGUUUCCACUGGUACCACUUGAGAAUCGCAUUUGACGUUGGGGCUAAACCUCUGUUGGCCCAUUAGGAGUCUUUCACUCUCACUCUACUAGCUCUUCUUGCCUGCUCCUCUGGCUUCCGCUUGUAACGAAAGAGAAAAAGAAUGAACGACUGAGAGAUCCAACUCCUAUGCUAGAAAACUUCCGAUCAAGCGCUUCCGAGACUCAAGUUCCCUUACCAAGAGCCCAGAGCAGGCACAGGAUCCAGCAAGACGGGAGGGCCUAUCGUGAAGGGACUUUCUCUUACGGUAGGGAAGGUGCAGCGGGAUCCGAGGCGGGCUUACCUUCAUGUCUUCCUUUUUUAGCAAGUCUCGGAAUGAAUGCUAGAGCUGCCUAUGUCCAAAGUUCUCAAGUAUUUCUAUUUAUGGUAUGAUUUGAACAAGGAUUUCUCAAGCGGAGGUAGCAAGUAAGUGCGAAAGAGAGAGAACAAGAGGUUUGCUUUGGAUGGAAUGCAGCUUUCAGUUAAUCUUCAAUCAAAGAGAACAUUGAAGUGAACUACACAAGGGGGCCAGAUCAAAGAACAAAAGUAGCGUAGAAAAGAAUAGGAGACUUUCAUUGUCGAUAUGGUUAUGGUUCAAAAAGGAUGACAAUAAUUCUCAUUCGAAACCAGCGAUCCGGAUCACUUUACUAGUUAAGAUCUUGCCUUAUUAGCGCCGCGUGGGAAGGGAAGGAAGGGCUCAUUCUUGACCCUUGUAUAAAAGGUGAAGAAAGUGGAGUUAUCGCAUUGUCCUUACGGUUUCUAUACCCGAAACAGAAGAGUCAGAAUGAUACUAUACGGAAAGGGAUUUCACUAUGGAUAAACGGAAAAGAGGAUAGGAUGGAGCUAGGUAUUAUAGAAAGAAGUCAACUAACCCACAUACAGGGAUACAGCUCCGAACUCAACUCGUUAAAGGGCUUCUUGGAAUGGAAUCGCAACUUGCUUGACGAGAUACUUUACUUCGAGAGCGCUGCGCUAAGCAUAUUUCUUCAUACGAGCGAGUCUCUUUCUGUGCUAGUUGAAAUCAUAUUAAGAAGAAGAUCUCGGAUCAACUGCGGAAGCCGCAGAAAGAGUAGGAUACGGAACAGGAGAACUAUGAAAGGAAUCAGAAUCAUAAGAAGAAGAGUCAGAGUCCGGCUUUUGUAGUCUGGAGCUCACAAACCCCCCAUUCUUUCGCCUUACCCUUACCCGGCUCAAGUAAUAUCUGGAAUUCUAGCAGUGCCUUACCCUUACCCGGCUCAAGUUAUAUCUUUCAUUCAGUCCAUCCCGAGUCUCAAGUAAUAUAUAAAAGAUUAAAGGAGUGCAUUCCGUUGUUUCAAGUGUUUCAAGAGACAGUCCAUAAGCUAGUCCAGUUUUCAAGGAGCUCUUUCAACUCAGAGCAAGAAGGCAUCUUCAUUUCGCGAGAUAGUCAAGAUUCCCUUUGCUUUGCUCUCUUCAAUCAACGUUGCUUGGUUUGUAGCGCUAGAAACGGAUCUUUGCUCCAAUUCGAACGUCUUCAAACACUCUCUACCCGCCCCUCUUUUAUCAAUAGUAUACUAUGGGCAUAAUAAGAUGAAACUACAAAUAGUAUUGGCACUAUAAGAUGAAACGAAAAACCCUCAACGGUAAGAGGCCAAGGGCAGGACAGUGUUCUUCCCGACCCCCCGCACAUGACUAGGACAGUUUCUUAGUUUCACAAGAUGGAUCCAGGUUUCAAUAAAACAUCAUCCGCCCGCCAUAGCCGCUUUGAGAUAGAUUCACAGUACUUACUUAUGGGAAGCAGCAUCCAUAUAGCGGAAUACACAAAGGAAAAGCAUCGAGCGAGACCUUUCUGUUCCAUUGUAGCCCAUAAAAACACAGGAAAUCCUCUGUCUGGUCGUAUUCGCUCGAAGAAAAUAACAAGGUUUUGUAGUGAGUAGUUAGCAUUUGAGCGGAUACUUGAACUUUCUAACAUGGAUCCCCAAUCCAGAAUCUUUGCCCGGUGUAAGUAAGACAACUAUAAAGAGAUUGACGCCCACUCCGGUGUAAGUAAGACAACUAUAAAGAGAUUGACGCCCACUUCUUAUGGAUUACUAUUAAUUCCGCAAUGCCGACGAAGAAAGGACUCGGCUUGGAACUUGGGGGUGUUGACUUGAUCCGCAAGUAUUUGAAUCUAAUGAUCAGGUUGGGUUGAUUAAUGCAGCAUGAGGUGAGGGAAAAGAAAGUGGAUAAGAUCAAGCUUCCCCGACUAUUCUGUGGUAGACUUGGUUUGUAUGAUCAACAAGGUGUAUUGGUAAGGAAGACAGAGUUUCCAGAAAGUCAACCUCUGAGAAAGUAACAGUAUAUCGUAGAAGUCAGUAUGAAUGGAAAUGAAUUGCUUGGAAAUAGAGAAGCAUAAUAACUUCAAUCAUUUUGGGGCAAUAAUAUUAUUCUUAUGGUCAUACACAGAUCCGAAAGCUUGUAGGGAAGUUUCAGAAUUACCAUAAACAGGAUGCAAGUGACACAAAGUGGAGGAGAACCCACCCUCAUAUGGAGAAAGAUCCGCAGCUAUAAUAAUUCCAAUCAGACAUUAUCUUCUUGAAUUCUUCCAGUUGCUAUACCCUUGAUUACUAUUAUGUUCAAGAUUCUGCCAGUUAAUAUACCCUAUAUUACUAUUAUGUUCAAUGUUCAAGAUUCUGACUUUCUCAACAAUUUGGAAUUUAGACCAAGAGUGCACCAGCUCCUCGCCCAGCUUCCGACUUGGAGUUUCACCCGAAACCCUGAACUUAUCUAUCUGUCUCUCGGGCCCUCUCCCCUGACCAGGAUCAGAACAAACCCAGACCAGACCGGUAACCAAUCAUCUCUCCUCCGGGUAAACCAUUGGAACUGGGGUAAGCUCCGCCCAAAGGAUGGAAUGCCAGUUAUAGACAAGGCGAAGAUCAGACACUUGACUUCGAUUCACUUCAAGUUCCAGGUGAAAAACGAUAUUUGAUACUCUCACUGCUUAGCCUACUCAGGACUCUUAAAGCAAAGGCACCCCAAACUAGACUUGAAACUUACCUUACCGCGCUUGCUGCUUACCAGAUGUCCUCCCCGCUCGCUGCUUACUCAGGUCAACACAAUCACCCUAUAUCACAGACUUAGAGCUAGAGCACCAACACUCUCACCUAACUUCUUACCCGGUUGGUUGGAGUUUCCUCGCCUUAGACACAAGCACUUUACCUCUGAUUCAAUAAACGAUUAAACACGUUCACCUCUAUCGCAAACAUUAAUGGAAAUUGAAACAACUAAACUCCCAUUAGCAGAAAGACUGGAACUCACCGGGGGCAACUCAUGAAUGUCAAUUUGCUUAGACUAAGGGCUACUCUAUACCUAUAUCCUCUCCUGGGUGGCCUAUAUCUAUAGAAUGUUCAAUGAUUCUUCUUUUCAUAAUGAUACUGGAAUUGAGGCUGGCCUCUGCUACUUAUAAUAUUUCCUUACAAGCGCCCCACUUAUUUUGACUUUCUUUACCUUUACCGUUACAUGGGCUAUCCGACCUCGACUUUAUGAAUCGAUUGUUUCAGCAAUUGUAAACUCCCGAAACAAGAGCAGUUAGGUACCAGUAAAGCGCUUAUUAUUCAACUCUUCUUUACAAACACACUGAAACACCCCGUAACAAUAAGCAUGAAGCUUCUUUCUUCUUUUUCCGUCGCUUGUUCGAACUCAGAGCUCACUAAUGCUAUACUCGAAAUAAAUCAUUUCACUGACAACUAUUCAUUGACAAAGUCUUAUAUCUAAUUAAGUAACAACCUCGGGAAACUCACUCUGUUACAGCCGUUGCUUGUUUAUUCUGUUACUUUAUUAUUUGCUUUUCUUGCGUGUUUGCUUCUUUCAUUUGAGAUUGAUGUCGGCACCCGACCCGACUCUAACUCCACAAACUAGAACUACACUUUCCGUCUUAGAGCGUAAGCACCAACCCUAGCUACUUUCCUCGAACUAUACCUUUGACUUUGACUACUUGCUUCACACAUGGGACUUCUACAAAUACAAUCUUGCAUUUCAAGUUGAUUUCGGGUAGUGUUUCACUCUUUAGUUGUCAUUUGAACUCAAGGAAUUGACACUCCGUAAGCGAAAGUAACAGAAUGAAUAGAAUAUCUCGAGUCUCUUGCACCUUAUGAAGAUCGAGUCAAAGGCUAAGGCUUAUAUACGAGUUUCAAUUCCAAUCCUGCUCCCAGGUGUGUCUUACUAAGUUCCAUAACUCUACUACCCUUCUAAGUUCUAUAACUCUACUACCCUUCUAAGUUAUAUAACUCUACUACCCUAAACAUAAAGGUUGGCUGAAUAAUACUGAUUUCUCUAAGUGUUUGCGGGAAACUAAAGGGGCGAAGCUACUAACGGGUUUUCUACAGUCUCUUUGAACUCUCCUCUUAUCCUGCUCCUAGCGGUAAGUAAACUAUAUGAAUUAGCUGUUAGAAAAGUGUAAAGUGACUACUAUAUUCAUUCUGAUUCUAUAUCUUAUACUUACUUGUCUUAUUCUAAUACUCACUAUUCUGACACCUCUACCCUGAACUACAAGUCGGGAAAGACAAGCUUCUCUUUCGUAGACCUCAAUCCACUCGGAUUCUUUCUUUGGCUAAGGCAAAAGCACUUCUGGAACAAGACUUGUUUGUUUGGUAAGGAUACUGCUUCGUCUCGAGUCUAUUCCCCAGCUUCAUAUCUGUCUUCUGCUUCAAAGCUGCCGUAAGGAAUAAUGAAACUCCAAAUAAGGAAUGAAACCUCUGAGAGUCAGAUACCUCCUCACCGGAUCCCGCUUUAGAUCCUAAUACCGCUUAUGGUCCUGCAUCCAAUCUUUCUUGUUCUUUUGCUCGAACUACACAAACUCGAACACCACUUCCAGCUUCUGAUACAACUGAGAUUCCCCCACUUCUUAAGCGCUAACUGACUUAUAUAAGAGAGAAUGAAAGUCGGAAUGUCUGGGUAGGCCCGGCAAGGGAAAUUCCACUCCAAAGGAAAACUGCUGCCUAAUAUUCAUUAAGGGCACUGGACAAAGAUGUUCAAGCAAGGGAACCAGUGGAAUCAGUAUUAGUUGAGUCAGUAGUAACAGAGACUAGAGAAGUAUUAGUUGCAGGAGAAGAUAUAGAUCCGGGUCACUCCCAGCCCUGUGCUCUUAGAUGAAAGUAAUAAAGUGAGAAGGAUUACUAGCACUAACAAGCGGACUCGCAACUAAGCCCUUUGGCAGCUAUCUCCCAUUCCCUCUUUCUUUCCUUCUCGCCCACCCAGUGCUGCUAUAAAGUAGGAAAGUAAUAAUAAAACAGUAAAGUAAGCCUGACAAUCACACAUGGGAGUACAAAAGAGUAGUGGUCAGUUUGCAACUCAAACUACAGACUUCAAGCGGGGAGUGUCGGUUUGGACCCCAGGAUCUGUGUUUAAAGAAUCCAAUUCAUUUAGUUAAGUCAAGUACCAACUCGGGCCCAAGAGAAUCAAACCAAGGAGAUCAAGUUUGAAACAAGAAGCAUAGGCAUUGACGCUACUAUUAGUCAUACUGAAGCUCGAAAGGAAGACUUAAAGGUAGGAGUGGCGGAGUGAGAUAAGUAAGUAAAAGACUAUACCCUAGGGAGGGCAGACUAACAACUAGGCAUUCAGACCUGAGUAGUAGGUCAACAGUGGUAGGUCAACAACCAAACAUAGGAUUUUCUGGCAGAAGUAGCAAGCUUGGUGGUUUUCGAGGUAGGGCUUUGUUCUUCUACUACGGAUUCCCAUUCUUCAAUGCAUGUGCUUAAUUCUCUGACUUUCGAGUGAGAUUCCCUAGGCAGUAGGUUAGGUUGAUCCUAAGCUAUAAGAUAAAGUACUAGAGAUGUGGGGCAGUGUUACAGCCGGAUAGUUCUAAUUGGAAUUCCCUUUUUCUUGUUUCAGUAUUGGGUGGCCUAGGUUCGAUCCCGAGUUAUUUGUUGGGGGAGUCAGAUACAUUAGUUGCAGGCUAACGAUUGAACAUGAGCGUGUAGGGAAACCCCGUCUAAUACUUAAGCUCGGUUUGUGAUCAGUGAAUUAUGAGAAGUAAUAGUAUAAGAAAGAGUAAGGCAAGCAAGGAUCAGAGACAGAGAUAUCGUAUUUGAAGUAAGCCAGAGCAGACUCAUGGGCAAUGGAGCAAGGUUCGGGGUCUAGGUAGGCGAAAUUAGGACUCGCCAAGCAACUAAGUAAGACGGCCAAGUCACUCUCGGAACAAGCAACGAGGGGAACAAGCUUAUCGUGUUCAGGCAGAGCGUGUUAGGAAAGAGUAGAAAGCGUUAGUUAGUUGUGCGUUAGCUGACUUGAGCGGGUCGGGUGCUACUUAAUAUCUCGGAGUUCUUGAGUGAGUUGCAUUUCCUUAGUUGUAGCAGUGUCCUGUUACCAAGUUAUAGAAGAUGUUAACUUCCGCUUUAUAUUCCAAUUCUCCAUCUAGCCCGAGUGGAGUUCGUUAGUUUUGAAGUAAUAAGUUAGUUAACCAAUUCUAUAUAUAUAUGGAAGAUAUAUGAAAUGAACCAAUAUGGAAGAUAUAUGAAAUGAAACAAUCCCUUGUGCUAACGCGUUAUUAUCGUUUCAGGGGUAGAGUGACUUCACACAGACCAGGCCCUACUUUGUUGUUAAUCUGCUCGAAGUAAAGUAGAUCGUUUCGUAGAAAGGUAACCCUAGAAAUCAAGUAGGCAAUGCAGUUUAGAGCGGAACCCAUGUGCCUUAGAUCAAUCUUUAGUUUAGAGCGGAACCAGCCUUAGUUAGAGAGAGAGUUUGAUAGUGUUGUAGAGUUUCGCGCUGUUAGGUUAGAGGGAAAGUCAGCAAUGCUGCUAGUAAAUAAUCAAUAGAUUCCAAGUAAACAAGGAAACAAGCCGAUCCUUAUUUAUAGUAGAAAGUACAACGCGCUACCCUUCCUUGCCAGUAAUAUAUUCUAACCUUUCAUUUAUGCUUUAGCCUAAACUGGAAUUGCAACUUACUUGCGCACAGCAGAUUCUCUCUCUCCCUCAUUGAUACUUGGAUACUUUGCUUCUCAAUGCCCGGGCAUCUUUCUCCUUAUCCUGAUGGAACAGCAGUCUAGUAUGGGGAAAGAAAAGUGCAACUUCGAUUAUUGCUCCUACUAUCAACUACUACUAGCAACUCUCUAAUCUAGCCCCUAGUCUUUUUCCACCUAACCACUUUUUCCACCUAAAGCACUUAGGGUAGGCAAUGAGACCAGAAAGGACAACCUAUAUCAAUGUAAGCCAGGCCGUUUUCUUCUUUUGCGGGGACAGGCAACUAUACUAAUGCCAUCUGAUUUCUUAUUCCCCCGUGUACGAACAAUCACAGCAAAGAAGCUUUAUCGGAUGAUACCCCAAUGUGCGCAAUACGACCCCAGGAUACAAAGAGAGAUCAGCCAUCACAUAGCCAAUUUAGAGAUUGGUCCGACCCGCUAACAAAGCCUUUAGACCUUUAGUACUAUCUCUUUCUCUUUCGAAGUUACGGAUGACAUUUCUUUUGUAGUUAUUACCCUAAGAUCUCCCACUUAUGCUCCGUUCUCCUCGGUAUAAGCGGUUCUUGUUUCAUAAGCUAAUAUGGCAACCUGGUAGUAUAGUGAGCUCUAUCUCUGGAUUAAGCUUCCGUCAUUGAUAGAGAUCAAUCACAUAGAACCUUUAGAGCGUACUCCUUCCUUUAUAACAGAAUGGAUUAAGAUCAAAAAAGAGGAGAGCAGAAAUCUUGUCAUCUAGUAGCGAAGAAUACGUUUUUUUGACACAAAGGAGAAUAGAAUGAAAACUCCCUGUCUUCACCUCUCGUCGAGUGGUGUGCUUGUUUUAGGGGUGAAUAUGCUUGCUCGCGGUAAUUAGGUUCGACUCUUUAAUGUUCUAUUUCGGUAUGCCGCUCCAAAUGGAUUUCACUCUUUCUUUAGUUCAUAGGAAGUGCCCUUCGGGUGAGCAUUCUUAUAAGUGUAAUGAUCCUUACUUCUCCGGGGAAAUAAAGGUUUCAAAUGGCCGGAUGACAUGCGAGCCGUGAAGUGCAGCUGAUCAAUCGCUUGUGAAAGAUGGAGCUAUUCUUUGCCUUGCAAGAAUGAUUAAUAGAGUCGUUAAGGGGCAGAGAAUCGGUCUUAGUUGACCGGUCAGACAAUACACUGAUAUUAGUUUACGAAAGGCUUUAAGGGCAGUGGAUUCCUCUUAUAUUUAGAUGAGAGAUCCAUUCUAACUAUUAUCUUAUUGACUGAACAAGUGAUUGCUGUAGGUACGGUAGAGACCUUGGGACUGACUCAAAAAAAGAUGGAUAGCAUUUAUGCCAAUGCUUAGCGAUCAGGAAAGAAGAGCGGGGCAAAUUAUUGAUUCUAUCUACGCCUACUCCAUGAAAGCACCAACCACUAUCUGGUCUCGAAAGCGAGUGAAUCAGUCCCAUCCUAAGUCAUUGAAGAUGCCCUGACUCGGGUCAAGAAUGGAAACUUACUGGUAUACUGACAGCCUAUCUUCUAUCUCUUUUCUGGGCGUGGGAUAAGAGGAAAGAGCUGGAGUUAACCUCAACCAAACACCACUAAGAAUUGGAGAUGAUUUGAUUUCCCACACUAACAUACAAAAAAGAAAUUCUAUAAAAUGGGUUCUGUAGCCCAGUCCUAGGUGACAGCACUCGAAGUCAAAAGAACUUCCUGUCGCACAGAGAUGACUUAUUGAAAAACAGCACCGCCUGUGAAGUAAAGAAACGGAACUUAAUAUAAGGCCUAUUCCCUCCCUUUGAAGUCAAGAGAAAGGCUAACUGCCCCACCUUUGAAGUAAAGAAACGAACCUAGCAGCCCUACCUUUGAAGUAAAUAGUAAACGCCAGAGCCCCUGCCCCUGUACGACUAAUAUACGAAUAGACGAAUUGAUCCUCGUUGUGUUCCUUCUGAACUUCCUAAUUCUCAGGCAUCUUCGGGUUUAGGGUAUUGUCUUGUUCAACUUCAAUCUGGGUUCGGUGAUUGGUCUUGUUUGGGGAAGACUAUCUUACUGGCUUUGAGGCUCGGGUAGGCUUUUUUGACUGACUUGGCGGGUAGGCAUUUACUGACUUGCUUGUGCCGGGUGGUGACCACAACUACUCAUUCUAUUACUGGGGUCGGGUAGUCAAAAGAGAGUCCCUUCCUCGGGUAGUCAAAAGAGAGUACCAUCUUUUAGGGUAGGGCUAGGGUAUUGUAAUCAAAUCAAUGAGAAAAACAAUCAAAUGAAUAACCUCUUUCGAGCUUAGCGCCUUUAAGUCUGGAACUAAACCUUGCUCACCCUCUCGAACAGGGCAUGAAUAAGUUGACUUUAGAACUAGAACUGGUCUCUUACUAAAAGUCAGACGAUAAGUAACACACGGUAUAGAGGCUUGGUAAAGAAAGAGAAACUGAAGUCACUCACUACUGCUGGCUUUUGUCACUAGCUACGUUGCUUGCCCCUGUUCUUGUUCUAGUGUCAUCCCCCCUGAAAGUAGUCUAGUAGUUUCGUAGUCCUGUUUCAUAUGUACUUGUUGGGUCGGCUAGGGAAGCAGUUUAGGAGGUCUGCAAGGUCAGCUGUGGAAUCAGUAGUUGUUAGAGAGAAAAGAUGCUAUGUGUAAGUAUUAGUUGACUCGGUAUCAGGUAAGAGAGAUAUUCCAUUCCUUGUAAGGUAAGAGAGAUAUUCCAUUCCUGUAGUUGGCGAGUUUAGAGCCGAGUUCAGGUAAGAAGAUAGUAGUCCUGUUGCAUCUGUAUUAUUUGACAGAGGAGUUGUUAGUUUACUUACCGGUAGUGAACUAAAGAAUAGAGUUGACUUCAGAAUCGAAUGGGAUGAAUCGAUUUGGAAGAAAUGUGGGAUGAAGAAAUUGGAUCAAAAUGAAAAUAAAGCAGAAAAGUGGAAGUUGCUGCCGCUAUUAAUUAGGACUCCGGAAUAACUGGGUAUAACGUAUUUUAUUUGCCAAAACAGCUGCCGCGCAACAUUAGUAGUUGUUUGUUGAAUGCAAGUGAGCCAUAUAAUCCUGUAUGUCUGCUUGGCCCCUACGAAAAGAUGUAAUUUACAAGUUCAUCAAAACAAAGAAAAGUGGAGUCUAUAGGUUCCUUGUGUGCGAGUCAGCCUAUAACUCUCAAUCUGGGGGGGUAAAGUACUGGCUUUGAAGCGGGAAUAGAAGCAGUGCUAAAGAAGCAAAUAGUUCUGGGAAAUCCAAUUCACUGAGUUGCUGCUAGUGUGAGUAGAAUCCGUCUUUUCACCCCUUGUUUCAUAUGUAUUUGUUAAAGAUGUUACUGGCUCCACUAAAGAGACUGCUCGAGGUCAAGCAGAAAGCUCAGGUUAAGGCUUUGUUGCGAGGUAUCUGCUACAGGCAAGCUUAUACUAAACUAGUCCUUUGCCCUUAAGUAAUUGGGCUUUAUCUGUCUACUUGCUAUGUGCUCGGGACGGGAGCAAUAACUGUAUUUGUAGUCCUAUUCGAGUGCCCUGCCUAGCCUUAGGGGUCUCGUAAGAAGCCAUAGGUACCGGAGCCAGGCCAGAGAAGGAUAUUAAUCAUCAACAGGAACCAGAGGCAGAGGAGCCGAACCGAAUUAAGUUAGUUAAUAGGAGCCGAGCCAGCUGCUUGUUGAAAGAAGUAUGAGUUUACAGAGUUGGAUAAGCCGGGAGUGUUAGUUGAAGUGCUCUAGUUCGAGAAGGAAGAAUAAAGCCAGUAGUCAAUUAAUCCAGUAGUAUAACCGAUGUGUUUAGUUAAAGGGGUAGGCUGUUAUUAAAUAGAAGUAAAGUCUAGGUCGAGCUAGUGUCAUUUUUAGUCGAGGGAUAGGAUUGCAACCAUCUGGUCGGAGAGCAAGGGAACCGCUUUUGAGUAGUGGGUAGAAAACGUGCAAUUCAGUACUGCCCUAUUGCUAAAGAAGAGGAACAAGAAAAGUAUUAGUUAACAGAGGAGAAGCUUUGAAGCUGGGUUGAUUCUUUAAGUAGUAGGGAUUGAUUCUGUCGUUUAAUACCUUCUCCUGUUCCUGGUCGAGUGUGAGUUGAAGACAGGUAGUACUUGUUACUUCUAGUAGUAGUAGUCCUGUAGAAUCCGCAUUUGUAGUAUUAGUUUCCAUCAGUAUUCUUUAUUUAUUGCUUCAUUCUUGUUGGUCGAAAGAAUAGGGUAAACGGAGCAUUCUUUCGCAUCUUAUUGAGUUUUUUGGCAAAUAUUGACAUGACGCACCCCCUUUGGGACCUAGAAAUGCAUUAGAAACCCUUUAUUGAUGGUUUGGGAACUCUUCUAGGGUGGUGGACUGGACUUCAGUUACUCAGGUAGGGGAGGAUUGUUUACUGACUUGUUUUAUUCCUGAAAUUGACUAGCGGCCCUGCCCUCUUACCCCAAGGCAUAGGGUGGUGAAGCGAAUAGUGAAAUCAAAGAAAUGAGAAAAUCUUCAAAAAGUAAAAAACGACUUCUCUGUCUCAUGUACCUACACAGUACACACUCAGUAGGGGAAAACAGCGGAGAAUUGUCUCUCUCUUUAUUAAAGAAACUAGAAUGUCAUAGAAUAGAUGUGGUUGCGCCUAUUAUGUGUGCCUAUUAUGGGUGACCUGUAGAAUAGAUGUGGUUGCGCCUAUUAUGGGUUAGUUUUGCCUAUCAUGUGUUUUGUUCAGGCGAAAGAGAAGUUUCAUUAUAAGAAUAGGGGCAUCCACUAUAGGAUUUCUCCUCUUUUUCUCGUUUGAUAGCAAAUAUUACAUUAGCUACCCCCUUAGGGGCCAAAAAACACCUUUAUCACUAAAAGAUUUCUUGUCUCAGAAAGCACUUUAGGAUGGGUUUGAUGCGAGGGGAGUCAUUCUAUUACAUUCCUAUUACAAGGGUAAGGGUCGGAUAGCAGUGGAAUAGCGGCUCUGCCGCGACACAUUAUACGUGUCUUGGCGGCUCGGGUCGGGUAUGCUGGUUUAAUGAAGUUACUAGGCUAGGUCAGUUAGUAGUUAGGAAGCCUACCUAAAUUCUGUAAUUCCAACUUCUGAGCUUGCUGGCUCCUUAUUCACUUCAUUCUCCCUUUCCACUAUCCCUCUCUGGCUCUGGCCCCUACUAUAUGGAAGGGCUUUCCCCACUAAAUGCAUUCUGAUCUUAUUAAUGAGAAAGUUGACUCGCCCCCCUUUACCCUAGCAUUAGGAGCUUACUUAUUCUUUACCCUAGCAUUAGGAGCUUACUUAUUGCUGAAAGAUUCUAAGAAGAAUGACUCUUAUGGGGCACCCGCUCCAACAAUCAGUGUUAGCGCCACUAAAGCACCCGACCCGGCCUAUCUUUCUGAUCCUGGCUCAGAUCCAGCUACUGUUACUGUUCCUGUACUUGUCUAGAGAUGUUUUUAAUGUGAUUGGCUGCUGUACUUCUAAAAACAUAUAAAGAUGAGAAAUCAUUAAUUUGUGAGUAUAUGUUUCAUGCUUUUACUACGUUAAAGGACGAGUAGUUGGUUGGUUGCUUGCCCUGUGGCAUCUGAUCAAACAAGUAUAUACUAUUAGAGAAAGGGCAUCUAAUUCUUUUAGGGCCAAGGCGAACUGGAGCAGCUUUAUCCAAUUUAGUACUUAGUGGGACCCGACCCGGAUUUGGAGUCUUUAUGAGCCGUGGCACACUCUUAUUAUAGGGAAAGGAGCACUAGGUUCGGUUGGUUGUCGAGAGGGAGGAUCAGAAUAGAGUCACAGAUACUAGGUUGGCGCCGAGAUAAGUCAAUUCUGUAUUCUGUGUUUCCUGUUUGCGUUUCGAGUCUAAGAACAGAGGGAACUUUUCAUCAGCCUUCUUGUCCGUGGAACAGUUGUUUGCUAUAGUGUGAGAAUUUGUAUAUGUCGCCCUGUAGUGCUCUUUGGUUGCCUUACUUAGUCAUAUGAGUGGAAUUAUUACUUUCGAACUGGAACUGGCACCACUACAAGGUACAGCCCCGAACCAACACUGUAAUCUGUAACUAUAGUGAACACUAGAUUGAAGUUGCACUAGACUAGAUGAUUCUUCUUGCCCCAACUCAACCUACUACUCUAGACUAGAUGAUUGCCCCAAACAAAAGUGCUUAUCCAGCCGCAUUCUCUUGAAACUUUUUCUUAUACUUCUUUCAUCACCUGCUUCUAAUGCUGAUGAAACUCAAACUCACUACGUAGCAGAGCGGUUAGGCUUUCUACUAGGCACCCAACAAGCAUAUAAAGUAAUUAAUAUAAGAAUAGGGAUAGUCAAAGUAUUAGAAUAGUAAUAGUAUUGCUUGUGUCUGUCCUUUUCCAUCUGUAAGCGCUAAGAGAACUUUCACUGUAAACUCCCUUCCUUCCUGUUUAAGAGAGAGACCCUAACUGUUCCCCUUCCGGUUCUUGCUUUGUAUACGUUUGCUUGGUCAGGCUAAAGAGGAGCUCCAGCGGGACUAUCCGUGUAAGAAGACCUUUUUCUCGUUGUUUAAGCUAGGGUAAACUAAUCCAAAUGUGGUUGAAUUGGGCUUUACCUAUUGGUGUACCCGAAAAGCUCGUGUAAUGCCUUUGUAGCCUAGAUCACUUUCGAACUCCCUUAUGCUAAGAGGAAAGAAAACAUCAAUAGAAAUGGAACUGACUUAUCAUCUGCAUCUAAUCUAGGAAUGAAAAUGAGCACACACCACACUGAGUCUUGAUACGAGUCAAGGAAACCAGUAAAACUAGUAAUUCCACUUGUAGCUGACUUGAGUCUGAUCGGUGUUAGUUUGAGUCUUUCUGUUCACUAGUCCAUUCUGAGUUGUACCAGCUCCGUUCCUUGACUCCCCGGUUUCAUUCUAUAGCUCCAUUCCAAGCCUACCCGGGUGAAGUCUUUGCCCUAGUGGUUUGAUUCUGAGUUUAGUUAGCACAGGUUUGAGUCUAUCACUGCCCGGCAUCAGACUUGGAUUCACUAGCUGAACUCAACAAGCAACUACUAAUGACCAAGCCACUACUAACCAAACAACGGCGCAAGACGUUGAGCGGUAGCAAUAGUAAUAGAUAUAACAAAGUUAUUACAAUAGAUGUGUUCUGGGCGGUAGGAGGAAGUGAGCUAAACGUUAGCGAGUUCGGGACUCACUCGUUCCAUUCUUUUACUAAUGAUCGGUAGGCUUACUAGCCACAUACCAAUACCUAGCAACAAUGGUUUUCUUCUUUGACUCCCUAGCUACAUACCUAGCAGGCACCGUAUCAGGCUUGUUAGCGAUGGUUUAAGUCUGUAACACCUAAGCAUCAGCCUGUAACUACCUUGUUAAAGUCUUACCAGACACCGCUUCAGUCUGCCCAGCACUUGUUCUAGACCAGUAGAGAGAUGCAUCAGGCUUGGACUCCUGAGCACCCGAACCGACCUCUGCUAUGUAAACUAAGUCUGAUCUUGAAACCGCAAAGCCCCCCUUUCCCUAGCAUAAGGCUUGCACUCCUUAGGCACAUUCCGAGCAGUACGGUGUGUAGUCUCGCUACCCCUACUUUCAGUCUUAAACUCAAUAGCUUUAUUCCGAUCCUACCCAGGUGAAGCCUUGUCCUCACCAGCCCCAUUCCUUGCCUCACUCGUUCCAUU
Molecule: long non-coding RNA, 66016 nt
Filed under: Musa acuminata (dwarf banana)
Lineage: Eukaryota; Viridiplantae; Streptophyta; Magnoliopsida; Zingiberales; Musaceae
Description: long non-coding RNA (MACU_LNC007851)
Source: RNAcentral